AAACUCAAUCCAAAUUGAGUUUCAAUUGUAAAAACUUAACUCAAUUUCAAUUCGAAUAAUAAAAAUGUUUAUCCAAAUCCAUCCAAGCAUCAGGUCCGACUCAAGUUGGGUAUCAAGUUGGGUUGGGUUAACACUUUGAAAUUGCACACCUAGCUAUGGAGCAAAGAAAACAAACCACAACAAAUAUUGAGAUAUAGGACAAAGGAAAAAAACAACUAGCAACAAAUUUGGAAGUUUAUCUAUCCCCAAAAUACUAAAAACCUCAAUAGCCACACCCAUUAGGGCAUUCCUCAUGAACAUUAACUUAUGGUUCUGAGUCCUCCACGACCUCAAGCUUGACAGGAGCAAUACCAGGCUCAUCAACAAUGGCGUCCAGGUCUCCAGUCUCCCCUUCCAAAUGAGCCAUCAGCAUGGCCACGACAAUCCCACCUACACACUCCAUCAUCGAUGUUUUAUCACCCUUCCCACUCUUGCACAUGGAACCCAUAAUCGCCCCAAUGGAUGUUCCAAUGCAAUUGGUGCAAUAAUCAUCAUCUAACAUGUCCAUGUGACCAUAAUCUGGAAUAACAAAGCCAAGGCAAUUAUCCUUGCACUCGUUGAAAAACUCCGCGUAGUUGAGCCCAUCAGGAGCACAAGAACAUGGUAUGCAGCCGAUGACAGACUCGCCCCCAAGACCCGUACCGAUUACCAUAACCGGGAUAUCCAGAUUGAAGGAAUGAGGGACACCAGUUAGGAUCUUUGGACACAUUUUCAUGCAUUUAUUUGCCCCAGCAACCGGGUCUAUACCUAUUAGGGUUAAGAACUUGAGAUUCAUGGAUACGUUGGCAUUCCCCAGUGCAAGAGCAAAUGCUAGAUAACCCCCUCUGCUAUGGCCCGCAAGGGCGAGCCUGCUUAGGUCUGGAACAACAUUUUCUGGGAGCACAGGUUGAAGGCCUGAGCUUAACCAGUUGGCGACUUCCGCUGCAGAGUUGAUAUCCGGUCGGCCGUACAAAGAACAUAGGCUGAGUAACUAGACAAACCAUCAACCAUUGCAUAAUAUUAGUUGAUUUUGAAAGAAUGUAAAAAUAAAAAUAAAAAAAAUAAGGGAAAAGGGAGUUGGACAGAUACCCUAGGAGCCACAACAAUAUAUCCAUGAGAAGAAAUAUGCUCAAGGAGGUUCGUAUAGCAGCAGGGGCAGAUGUUGUAGCCAUGAAGAAACAGGAGAACUGGGUAUGUUCCUUCAGUGUCUGGUGUUACAAUAAACAAUGUCUUUGGAGCGUUACAAGUUGUUAUGGGUUUCGCUGUGUACUUUCCUCGCUUAAAAGCAUCUGUUGCUGCCGCCGGUGCAGGCCUAGCUUCUAACGCUGCCAUUUCUCUCCCUCUCCCUCUCUCUCGGCAUGUUGAAACACACAGGCGGUCUUAUCCUAUAAUGGGUGGAGGAUCGGCGUUCACCCCCCACAUGGUGAUCCAGUGCCAUAUUUUUCUAUUCUAAAUAAUAAAAAAUAUGUUGAUCGAUAAUAAAGGGUUUUGUCAAAAAUAUACUGAUUCUAAAUACUUAAAAUAGUCAAAAAUAGAUUAUUCUUCAAACAAUAACAUAGAAAAUGUCAAAUUCAAAUGAGAAUUAUUUCAUCCCUUUUAACCAAUUAAUUCUAAUAAAAAAACACGUUUAAACUCCAAUCACCCGAUAUUUCCUUCAUACGCAGCCUUGCGACAUGAGUUUGAAGAAAUAUGCAAUAGAGCUUCAAACUAUAAGAAGUGUAAAACUUAGAACACGCAAAAUAUGUAGUGUUUGUGCUGCAUUCAAUCUGCAUAAUUAAUGGGAUUCAGCAAAACCCCAUUAGUUAUUCUUAUACCUUUAUCUCCAUCUCCAUUUAUAUUUUUUUGAGGUUUUAGCUCAAACUCUUAUGAUUUAACUAAUGUUUGGUUGGCAAAAAAUUUGAGGAAAAAUGUAAAAGAAAAAAAAUAAAGAUAAAAAGUAUUAAAAAAAAUUAAAAAAGUAGAUUUAAAGUCAUAAAUUUUUUUUUAAGUGUUACUUUAAACCCAUUUAACUUACUUUUCCACUUCUACAUGAAGAUAAAAUAAUUUUAAAGUGAAUAAAAUUUUAAUUAAUUUUAAAUAUAUUUUAAUUUAUUUCAUAUUUUUUCAUAAUAAAACUAAACAUAAAAAAAUUAUUUUCAUAGGUAUUUUUUUUCUUUGCUUUGUACUAUUAAGAACUAAACACACCCUCAAUGAACUUGGGGGAAUAUUCUUGGCUAAAAUGUCACCUUAAACUUUAUUUUUAAAAACAUAGCAUCUAUAUUUCAAUUAAAGAUUAAUCUUUGAAAUGGUCCCCACCCAAAAAAAAAAAAACUUUAUUUUUAAAAACAUAGCAUCUAUAUUUCAAUUAAAGAUUAACCUUUGAAAUGGUCCCCCCCACCCCCAAACAAAACUCAGGAAAGUGACCCAAGCCAAGAAUGACAAAUUUUAAUAAAGACAGUUUGGCUGCACUUUGCAAUGAGCUAGGACAGAGUAUUAUUGAUUUUCAUGCAACGAUUCCUAGUGAAAAAAUUAGAGGGGAAAAAAAAAGAUAGAUUUAAAGUGGUUCGAUAGAUUGCCUACGUCCACAGGAAUAGGAAAGAAGACUUUCACUAUAUCUGAAUUAGGGUUACAUAUAUAAAGGGGUAUUUAUACUAACUCUCAAGUAUUGAAAUUUCAAAAAUACUCUUGAACCGUACCAUGAGGGUAUUUGCCCAUUUUUCUCCAUAUGUUUUUCACUCAAUAUGAGUCACAUACUACAAGUAUCUUGGGUUUCAUCUUCAAUGGGUGUGUCCUUUUCUUUCUUUGAACAGAAAGAAUAACAAUAGGUAUAGACAAAAGAAUAUUGCAUGGACGAUAUGGAUCGAUCCUUUCAUAUUUGCAUUCUCUGAUUUCUCUUUCAAAUAUUUUUGCACCUAUAUAUUGGUUAAGCUUCAAGGGGACACAAAGGAUUUGGGUGUCAUUCUCAAAAGAAUUAACAUUUCUUGUCUCUCAUAAAAUUUGUGCUAAAUCCAAGUAAUCAUCUUGGAUUCAAAAAUAAUGGUUAGUUUCUAAGUGAUGUUAGACUCAUAAUGCGAUAAGGAAAGGUUUAGUAAGAGUAGGUUUAAAAGCUUCGAGGGGUUAGCACCUCCCAAUACAACCCUGAGAUGAGAUGAUAAAUAAGUUUGAUGGAUGUCUUACUUUUCAUGGAGCAAGUGUUUAAAUACAAAAAAAUACUCACACAAAUGACCACUAAAAUAGAAACAAACCGACUACGUAAAUGAAUGACCCAUAUCUCAUGCAACUCACUAGCAACUAAAGACUAGGACAAAUAGUUAAAAUGUAAUCAAUGCAUAUCUUCAUCUAUUUAAUUAAUAAAAUAAAAGUUAUAAAAAAAUACUUAAUACAUAUUCUUAAGCCAAAGAGCGGGUUGUCUUUUAUCAUAGACUAACUUACUCUUCGACCAUCCUAAAGCAUUUCGUCUUGAUCAUUUGACCAUCCAUCAAGUGAAACGGUUCCUCACUAAAGAAAACCAAAGUUCCACUCCAAUCAAGGAAAGAGAUAAAUCACAUCUUGGCCAAAUGUCAAUCCUCCUAGUUUGACUAUAUGAUGAAGUUACUUAAUAUAUAUAUAUUAUGUUUUUCAUCGAUUAUUAAUUUAUAUUUUUUUGGGGCCUUCAAAUAUUUUUGAAAAUAUUAUUAUUUUAUGUAUUUAGUGAGUUAUUAACUUAGUAUACUAGUCCAAGUUGGAAUCGAAAAAAUUCAUUAUUUAAAUGAAAUUAUUAAUUUAUGAAGGUUUUACUGUAAUGUUUCAAUCGUACAUAUAGGGAGCAAAGGUUUCACAUUGUUAUGGUUUAUUUGGUUGACUACAAAUAACUCAUCAAUAGAGAGAAUUACCCCCCUAAAGAAAAAUAGUUCUUAGUCUUUUACAAAUCUUUGCUUAUGUCAUUAAUUUGGUAAAUUCUCAUCUCAUCUAUAGAAAAUAUUGUUAAUAAAACAAGCUCAUAGUAUUAUAGCCAAUGAUGAAAAUAUCGGUAAUCACGGAUAUAUCGGUACUUCAAUUUUACGGAUAUAUCGGAGAUAUAUCGACGGAUAUUCUAGAAAAAAAUAUCGAUAGGCUUAAAAUUAUUAAAAACUCAUAGAAAUAUAAGGAAAACCUCAUAAUAAUAUAAUUAAAAGUAUAAUGAACAUUUUAAAGUUGUUUUAUUGAAAAAUUUGAUAUACAUAUGAUAUAAUUUACAAUAUUAUAUGUAAUUAUAUCACGUCGAUCUAUAAGAAAUGUUAAUUUUGUAAUUGUUCUCAUUAUAAAGUCACAUAAAAUACUUUAUUUCAUUAAAUAUCAAUAAUUUGUACACAUUAAAUUCAUUAAAUAAACAUAUUUCAUAUUCAAAAUAUACUAGUUCAUGUUAAUUAAAUUAAUUAAAUAAUUUAGCAUGUUAAUUAAAUUAAUUAAAUAAUUUAGCUAAGUUAACUAGUUUAAUUUAAUUCUAAAUGUGAAAAUAAAUCACAAAUAAUCAUCUAAAAUAAACAUAUCAAUUUAUAAUUAAAUAAUCAAAUUAACCUAAGUUAAUUAAAUAAAAAUAUAAAAAAAUAAUUACAAUUGAAUGUAAAAAUAGCAUUAAAUCAUCCAUAUUGCAAACAUACUAAUUAAUUGAAAAUACAUGAAUUAAUUACAAUUGCAAACAAAAUUAAUUACAAUUUAAAACAAAUAUACCUUAAAAUGAUUAAAUAAUUGAGCAACCUUAAUAAAAAUUGGAGUAAUGAAAGAGAAAAUGAAGAAAGAAAGCAAAAAAUGGAUGAAAUAGAUGAAAUUUGGGUUAUUUAUAGAAGAAAUUUGGGUCAAAAUAGCCGUUAGAACAUUAAUUUUCCGUUGAAAAUCAAUUUUGGCCGUUGGAUCAAAAAUUGGGAGCAAUUUGGCUGUUGGAUCGUCAUAUUACCAUUGGAAUCACAUUUAGGUAGUUGAAUCGCCAUAUUACCAUUGGAAUCACAUUUAGGCAGUCGGAUCAACACAGGCGUAAUCUGGGUCGUCAGAUCACGUUGCAUAAAGGAGGGGAAAUAUCGUCAAAAUAUCGGCGAUAUAUCGAAGAUAAAUCGCCGAUAUUUUGCCACCAGAGGCGAUUUUUUCAAAAAAUCUCCGAUAUAUCUCCCCGAGCCGAUAUAUCGCCGAUAUUUUGGGAAUAUUUGCAUAAAUAUCUCUCCUCCGAUUUUUCUCCACGAAAUAUCGUGUCGACCCCUCCCGAUACACGAUAUAUCGCCGAUAUAUCCUGACAUUUUCCUCCUUGAUUAUAGCAUAAGAUUGUACUUCUACAUGGUAGCAUACUAUUAUUGUCGACAAUUACACUUUAGUCCAUUAAUUUUGAAAAAUUAUACCAACACCCCAUGACCAGCCUGAUAAGAGCAAGACCACCCUUUUGACCAACUAUGACCAUUGACGUAUAUAUAGGUUGAUUGUUAAUUGCCUCCAUUGAAAAUUUAAUGAAAAUCCUUAAAAAACCCUCCAUUACCUUAUUUAAUAUAAAAUGCCUAAAAUACCCCUUAAACCUUAUAUUACAUACCUUACCAUCAAACUAAUAAAAUUUUAUUCCAAAAGAAUUGAAAUUAAAAUUUUGACAAAUAUAAUGAUUAAAUGAAGUUAAUAUUUGGACAAAUAUUAUGAACGUCUUCCUCGAUUCCUCUCCUAUAACAAAAGAAAAAGGAUGUUUGUAGUCAUCUAACUAGCAAACCUAUUUCCAACAUUACCCCACCAACGACAAUUUUCACCAACACACAACUUUAGUGUAUAAAUUUUGAUGGCCCAUAGCCUUAUAAGCUAGAGGAAUUAAUGAAUAAAGGAAAGCCCCAUAUGAAUGUUGACGACCAUUGUGCAUCUUCCCCAUCAACUCAUCAUCAAGUGAAUUUCAAAUGUCAAAGUUUAGUGCUCGGCAAAUUAGGUCCUACUUGAUAACCAUCUUUUAAAAUAGUUUCCUAUUUCUCCAAAAAAAAAUGAAAAAAAUAUAUUUAACAACCAAAAAAACAGGAAACAAUUUUUUUAUUUCUAAAAACAUAAAACAAUUUUCUAUUUCUAAAAUCAGAAAAUAUAAUAUUUUAAAAUAAUACAUUUUAAUUGUUUUAAGUUAUUUUUUCUUUUUUCUUUUUUUAAGAUUUUUUAAAAAUAAUUAUAUAAAUAUAAAGAAUAACUCAAAAUAAAGUAUUAUGGAUAAAACAUAUUUUUAAAAACAAAGAAAAUUAACAAGUUUAAAAUAUUUCAAGAUUUCAAAUAAAAUUUUGAUUUACAAAAUAUGAUAAAAUUAUUUUUCUAAACCGUUUCCAAAAAUACUCCUCAAACAUAGUCUUUCCACACGCCUUCAUAUGUUAUUUGCUCCCAAAGGUAUAUAUACCAAGUACUAGAAUAAUGCAAAUUCCAAUUAAUCAAUGGUGCUUUAGCUGAGUUGGAUGGCAGUGUACUGCCAAGUGAAACCUCCAAAAGUAUUGAUCACAGUACUGAAAGCCAAGAAUCAUUGUACUGCAUUUUUAUUAUCAAUUAAGCAUUGCCAUGUAAGAGAAAAAACAAACAUAAUAAUUGGAAACAAUUAAUGAUCAUCUAUUAAGACCCCAUCAAAAAUGACCCUGGUCUCGAUGUUCUUAUAAUAUGGAACACCUCAUCCCCCAUUCUUAGUCUAACACAAAUGAUGGGUCUUGAGAAUAUUAGAGGUCAUUAGCAAUACAACACAGUUUCGUUUAUUUGAAUCUUUGUUCCCAAAGACGAACCGAAAAAAAAAAAAAAAAAAUCUGCUGUCACACUCCUUAUAGCAUUACAAAGAAUCCAUGAUUUCAUGCUUCUAUGAACUCAACAGGAUCAAGCUUCACAGGAGCCAGAUCAGGUUCGUCAACAAUGGCUUUGAAAUCUCCACUCUGACCUUCCAAAUAAGCCUUCAAGAAUGCAACAAAAAGGCCACCCACACAUCUCCUCAUGGGGUCCCUAGGACCCUUCCCACUCUUGCAGAUAUAACCCGAAAUCGCCCCAAUGCAGCCUGAAAGAUGAUCAUCUAACAUGUCCAAGUGACCAUAUUCAGUAGUCACAAAGUGGGAACAAGGAGGUUUACACUCACUGAAAAACUCUACAUGGUUCACUCCAUCUGGGGCACAUGGACAUGUUAGGCAGUUCCUUGGCUCAUCGCCCAACCCCGUGCCGAUUACGCAAACUGGGAUUGCUAGAUUGAAGGAAUGAGGAACAUAGGUUAGGAUUUUGGGAACUGUUUGGCAACAUUUACUCAACCCACCAACAGGGUCUAGUCCUAGUAGGGCUGAGAAGUUGAGGGAUGUAUCAGCAUACCCUAGUGCCAGAGCAAAUGCUGUCUUUCCCCCUCUGCUGUGGCCUGAAAGAGCAAGCUUGAGUAGGUCUGGUUUCACAUUUUCUGGGAGCACAGAUUGAAGGCCUGAGGAUAGCCAAUUUGUGACUGCUGCUGCUGAUUUGAUCUCUUGAAUUCCAGAAGGAGGUAAUAGUCCGUAUAACUAUAUAGAAAACCAUUUCACAGUACUGCAUGUCAGAGAUUGGAGAUUAAUAGAAAAUGUGUUUGUGCAUGCGGUUAUUAAUUGAAAGUUCUCCCAAAAGCCUUGCAAUCUUUCGGAUGAACUUGAUUAAAAAUAUUAAAUCAAGUUCGGGUUGGGUUCAAUUUCCUAAACUUUGGUCCAGAAUAGUUCAAAUUGAGUUCAAGAUUGAAAAACCCUAAUAUAAGAUCAACCUAGAUGUCAAAAUGAUUACCAAAGCUCAUCUAAACAUUGGGUUAGGUUGGAUUUCUUUCGGGUCAACCUGUUAAACAGGUUGCACCUCUAUUAUUAUGUCAAUAUAUAAAUAUAUUGAACUAAUUUGGAUUGCAAUACUUCAAUUACAAAGAUCAUUACCUUUAAUUUUAUAAUUAUAUAUGGAGAUGACAAUAUGACAGGUUUUUUUUAGUACCAAUCUCACCACCCCCUUAGUGGAACAUGUUUAAAAUUUAAAUAAAUGGAUUUGAGAUAGAUUUAGAAUUUUUUUAAAACCCGAGACAAGCUCAAAAUGGAUUUAGGUAUUGUCUAAUCUUAUCUCGUUCCAUCACAUUCAAAAUAAAAUAAGUUAUAAAAAAUUAUAUUAUUUUUAUUAUUUAUAAAAUAUAUUUAUUUUAAUAUAAUUAAAAUAAAUAAUUUUUUUCAAAAAAAAGUUAAAUAGUUGGGCAAGGCGAGUAUGGUAAAUUCGUAUGUACACCCUACCCGUUUAACUUUUUUAAUAGGAUGGAGAUGGAAACUAUUUUGGAUAAACAUAACUCAGCCUGAACCUGAAACCAUCCUCUUAUAAUCUCCAACUAUAUAUUAAGUACAAUUAAAUGGGAAACGAGUAGAAGAAGAAAAAGAAAAAUAGGGGGAGUAGGAUAGUUAACAGGGAAGAGAGGUUGAGAAAGCACCUGAGGAGCCACCACUAUGAAUCCAUGGGAAGAAAUGAGUUGAAGGAGCUGAGUGUAGAAAGUGUUGCGGAGCUCGAAGCCAUGAAGAAACAAGAGAACUGGGUAUGUCCCUUGAAUGGUUGGUGUAACAAUCAACAAUGGCUUGGGAGGGGAAGCGAUGUUUGAAGUCUCCACUCGAAUGCAACUCACGCUCAAAUUUCCUGGCUCAAAAACACUGGUUGUUGUCUUCAAAUCAAGCUUGAUUCCCUGCGUUGAAGGAUUACCUCCUAAUAGUGCCAUUGCCCCCUUUUAGAGUGUGUGGAAAUCAAGGUAUAGAUCUCUCAUUUUAUAAUUGGAGAGAAUGAUGAAUUGCAGCCAUUGGGCAGCUAUGCAGCUGGGCCCUAGAGGAAGAGUCCCCGACUCCAAAUAAUUGUAGCAGCCUUCUAGUCAAUCAAUACUAGUCAAGUAACCAACUAACAAAAAGAUAUUUCAAACAAAUUUCAUUUAACUAUUAGACUUAAAACUUAAAUAAUUCAAAAAUACAUAAAUUUUUAACUAAUUUUAAUUAUAUUUUAUUUUAUUUCAUAUUUUUUAUAAUACAAUUAAAUAUAAGAAAUUCAUUUUUCUUAAUUUUUUUUUUUUAGUAUUUUAAGGUCUGGUAAAAAAAAUUUAAAGGCUAACUAAAAUAAUUUUAAAAACUAUUUUUAAAUUUUCAAAUAGGGGUUUGUUUUAUAAAAUAUAAAAAAAAAAACAAUUACGACAACAAAACCUAAUAGGAUACAACCCCACUUGCUUUUCUCACGAUUUUAGCAAGACGAAGAAAACAAAAUGAUCAGUGGUUGAAUCUUUGUCCGUACAUGGCUGCUUUAUCAUCAGCCGCCCUAUGGUUUGUAGUGAUAAAUUGAUAACAUGCGGUUUGUGUACACGGCUUUAGCAAGAAAAAGGAGGAAAAUUCCACGUGGAAGCUCAUUUUUAGCCAGAAAGUCAAGCGACGAGGUUGCCUCCAUUAAUUGUCGCCCUCGCGUUUGGUAUUUCAAGAUUAGGUACGGAUGAUCUUAUCCAACGAUUCCAACCCUCCUCCCUUUAUUUAAAAUAAUUUUUAUUCAUAUUUAAUCGAAAAAAUUAAAUAGUACCCAUCCUUUAACUUUUUUCUGAAAAUUUUUUAAAUUUUUUCAAAAAAAUUUAUUUUUAAAAUUUUUUAAUUACAUUAAAAUAAUUAAAAUAUUAUAAAUUUUUAUUAUUUUUUUAUUGAAAAGCACUUAUUAUUAUUAUUAUUAUUAUAUUAUAUUAAAAAUAAGAAAAUACAAAUUAAAUUAAAUUAAUUUUUAAAAUCAAUUAUUUGUCAUCCCUGUUAAGCUCAAUAUGGAGUUGAUGAGUGUACUUAAUUGUAUACCAUAUUGUGGACCCCGUAUUUCGAUUCAUGCAUUUCCCACUCGAUGGCGAGGUCGAUUUUUUGUUCAUGAGCUAAUCUCACAAAUCCCGUGUUUUUGAAUUACGAAUGAAUCACUAUUGCUUAUGUAAAAUCAAGAAGAUAAGAAGAUUAUUUAGGAACUGAAAUGUGAUUAAAAACUAUUCGAGUGAAAACUGGAUUAUCGGAGCUUAUUUGAAAAUUGGAGUAUUUGGAAUUAAAUUUUGAAGAUUAGAGCUCCGGUGAUUAAAUCGAAAUUUGUUAAAGAAAAUGAGAAACGGACUUUAGGAAAUUGAACUGCGAGACCAUAGACUUUUGAAAGUUGAAUUUAUAAUAAUGAUAGUAAUAAGGUCUUGAGAGUUUGAAUUAAUAAUAAUAAUAAUAAUAAGAUUUCGAAAGACUGAAUUAAUGAUAAUAAUAAUAAUAAUAAUAUUUUGAAAGUGUGAAUUAAUAAUAAUAAUAAUAAGAUUUUGAGGAUCGAAUUAAUAAUAAUAAUAAUAAUAGUAAUAAUAAUAAUAAGAUUUUAAAAGUUGAAUUAAUGAUAAUAAUAAUAAUAACAUUUUGAGAGUUGGGUUAAUAAUAAUAAUAGUAGAAUUUUGAAAGUUGAAUUAAUAAUAAUGAUAAUAAAAAGAUUUUGAAAGUGUGAAUUAAUAAUAAUAAUAAUGAGAUUUUGAGAGUUUAGAUUAAUGAUAAUAAUAAUAAUAAUAAUAAAUAGAUGUUGAAAGUGUGAAAUAAUAAUAAUGAUAAUAAUGAGAUUUUGAAAGUUGGGUUAAUCAUAAUAAUAGUAAUGAGAUUUUUGAAAGUUGGGUUAAUAAUAAUAAUAAUAGGACUUUGAAAGUUUGGAUUAAUGAUAAUAAUAAUAAUAAUAAAUAGAUGUUGAAAGUGUGAAUUAAUAAUAAUGAUAAUAAUGAGAUUUUGAAAGUGUGAAUUAAUAAUAAUAAUAAUGAGAUUUUGAGAGUUUAGAUUAAUGAUAAUAAUAAUAAUAAUAAUAAAUAGAUGUUGAAAGUGUGAAAUAAUAAUAAUGAUAAUAAUGAGAUUUUGAAAGUUGGGUUAAUCAUAAUAAUAGUAAUGAGAUUUUUGAAAGUUGGGUUAAUAAUAAUAAUAAUAGGACUUUGAAAGUUUGGAUUAAUGAUAAUAAUAAUAAUAAUAAAUAGAUGUUGAAAGUGUGAAUUAAUAAUAAUGAUAAUAAUGAGAUUUUGAAAGUUGGGUUAAUAAUAAUAAUAGUAAUGAGAUUUUUGAAAGUUGGGUUAAUAAUAAUAAUAAUAGGACUUUGAGAGUUUGGAUUAAUGAUAAUAAUAAUAAUAAUAAAUAGAUUUCGAAAGUUGAGGUAAUAAUAAUAAUAAUAAUGAGAUUUUUGAAAGUUUGGAUUAAUGAUGAUAAUAAUAAUAAUAAAUAGAUGUUGAUAGUGUGAAUUAAUAAUAAUGAUAAUAAUGAGAUUUUAGAAGUUGGGUUAGUAAUAAUAAUAGUAAUGAGAUUUUUGAAAGUUGGGUUAGUAAUAAUAAUAAUAGGAUUUUGAAAGUUUGGAUUAAUGAUAAUAAUAAUAAUAAUAAAUAGAUUUUGAAAGUUGAGGUAAUAAUAAUAAUAAUAAUGAGAUUUUUGAAAGUUUGGAUUAAUGAUGAUAAUAAUAAUAAUAAAUAGAUGUUGAAAGUGUGAAUUAAUAAUAAUGAUAAUAAUGAGAUUUUGAAAGUUGGGUUAGUAAUAAUAAUAGUAAUGAGAUUUUUGAAAGUUGGGUUAGUAAUAAUAAUAAUAGGAUUUUGAAAGUUUGGAUUAAUGAUAAUAAUAAUAAUAAUAAAUAGAUGUUGAAAGUGUGAAUUAAUAAUAAUGAUAAUAAUGAGAUUUUGAAAGUUUGGAUUAAUAAUAAUAAUAAUAAUGAUAAGAAUAAUAAUAAUGACAAGAAUGAUGAUAAUAACAAUAGUAAUAAUAGUAACAAUGAUAAUAAUAAUUAAUAAUAAUAAUAACAACAAUGAUAAUAAUAAUUAAUAAUAAUAAUAAUAAUAGUAACAAUAAUAAUAACAAUAAUAAUAAUAACAAUGAUAAUAAUAAACAACAAUAAUAAUAACAAUGAUAAUAAUAAACAAUAAUAAUAAUAAUAAUAAUAAUAACAGUAAUAAUGAUAAUAAUUAAUAAUAAUAAUAAUAAAUGAUAAUAUGCAUCCAUCAAGCCCAUAAGCCUAAACCCACUAAUAAGCCCCAUCUUCGUCAAACCCAAGUUCACCAAGUCCAUCAGCAACCUUAAUAAAGCCCAAACCUAAUCAAGCCCAAGUUCAUCAGCAACCCUCAAGCCCAAACCUAGUUAAGCCCAAAAAAACAAAACUUCAUCUUCUCCACAGCUCCUCCCGCCUGGAAAUCACCCUCCGAGGGAGCUCCUACCGCCGGCGGCACCAAGAGACGUUGCCGCCGUCGCCGACGACUGGCACGGCUGUCCACCUGGCCGGAGCGGGUCAAAACGCACCAUGCCUGCGUCAGAGAAGGAGCUGCUAGCGGUCCGAGGGUGUGAUUGCUGCCAGCUUGGUCGAUGGAGGGAGAAAUAGCGGCGACGGUCCGGCGACGUCUAGAAGACGCUACCGCUGUCGCUGAUGACCGGCGCAGCUGUCCACGCGGUCGGAGCAAUGGUAAAUUUGAGAUAAUAAGGUAAAACAGCUUUUCUUUAUCAAGGAAACCUAUUAAGGAUGAUGAAUAUGUUCCUCGUAUAAAUAUGUAUAUAGACACACACUUGGGAACCAUUUAUCACAAAGAAGUCUACUAUAUUUUACUUGAUAGUUUGAUCUGAUAAAUAUUUUGGACCACUUAGCCAUACAUCUUCUUGACUUGUGCAGUAACUUGAAGCUAAUUGAAUAUUUGAGUCUCCUUCAACAUAUCACAUACCUGGUACUUUAAUUAUCUUCCAGAAACUCAUACAAGUUCCAUAGUUGUCUGGAUACCAGGGUUUCUUGUCAUCAGAAGUUCUGUUGAAAUGAUUGUAGCCCUCAUUUUUCUCCAGCUUCUCGACAAUUAGACCUUUCAAAUUAAAUAACAACGUGACUAAACGUUUCAGCACAUUAAAGUUAAUACAAAUGCAAGAUUAGCACCAUUCUUAAUUUGUGGCAGCAGAAUCCUCCGUUUGGAUUAAAACAGAUUCUGACCAGCCACCAUUCAGCCCUCAUUAUCUUAACUUGGGAUGUCUUACAUUGAUAAAUGAUAUUGCUGAUCCAGCUGAGGUGAGUACCACUUUUGAAUGCACUGGGCUUACCAGCCAGGAGAUGCAGUGGAGUAAACCCUUCCUCAUCAACAGAACUAACAAAAUCUUCAUACAGAUAUAUUAUUUGGAAUGCUAAAUCUGUCAAGAACGACCACAAAAGAAUCAAAAUGCAUAUAAAUCAUGGAGCAAGUAAAAAUAUAAGACAUAGUAGCUGAAGCAAUGAUUUUAAUGAAAUAAGCCAUUUAUUAUGUGCUAAUGAACAUGUGCACAUGCAUAUGUGAAUGCAUCCCUCUAAUGCAGACCAAAACUUCCUGAAAAAAGCUUACCUAAGAAUUCUCCAAAUAUGGCACAGUGAAGAAUAGUUUUGCCAUCGGCCCUUCGACUGUACUCAUACUGUUUGGUCCUGUCACAUAUUUUGUGAAGGCAGAGGAAAGCAUCUUUCCUACCAUGAAGGACAGCUGAGAAGACGGGCGUUUCAUUUUCAUGGUUGCGGACACCAACCAGUUUCGGAUGCUUACCAGCCAAACACUUGCAUAUGGGAACAUUUCCCAUUGAUGCAGCUAAAUGGAGAGGGGUGUUCCCUUGCUCAUUUCUCAUCUCCAGAGCAUCCAGAUCUGUUUCUCUGAUCAACUCAACUAGUUCCUCAACUAUACUUUCUUUGCCUUCUGAAACCGCAACAUGCAAUGCAGUGUCUCCAGAUACAACGAUCUCAGCCUUGUGAGCCCUUGGCUGUUGCCUGCAUAUGUUGACAACUUCAUUCCAUUUGCCUUGCAUGGCAUAAUUGAACAAGUUUUUCUUAAUGGUAUGCAGAUCUGCAUCCUCAAUUGUAAAUUCCAUAGUGCUCUUGGAACAACUACUAGAUAGUACUCCUAUUGGGAUGGUUAGAUAUAUAUGGGGAACCAGAAGAUUCUCUGAGAGGUUUAAGCGUAUGGCCUAAUAAAGCUCCAUACCUUGCUCCAGAUUUGGGAUAAGAACAAGCAUGUACCCCAGAGAAGAUAGACACAAUAAGAAAGCAUUAGAACUCAUGUAAAUGUUGGAUGCCUCUAGUCAACUUUUGUGUUACUUGCAUUACAAAGUAGUUAACAUUUGAAUUCUUUCUUUCGUGUUAGAGAAUUAUUUAAUGAAUUCUCCUCUAGAUUUUUCUUAAUUCUAUACUUGUGGGCAAACUAUUCUAUGCUAAAUAUUGUAAAAGGGCUUUGAUAUCACCCUUAUGAGAAAGUCACUUAUUUUAACUAAUUUUAUUUGAUUAAUUUUCUGGAGUCAAAAGGGAGAUCAGUUUUGUCAUGUAGAAUACAAGCAGAAGAAAAAAGACAAAAGUAAAAGGCAAAUGCACAAACAAGCAAAAAAAGAAUAUGACUUAUUGUCGAAGAUUCUGAAACACACCUACCUCUCAGUAAGCAUGAUUUUCAGUCCUCUUUGAACAAUCUGUCUUUAUGUUUGUGCUACAACAAAAUUCUAGUUAGUUUAUUUUCUUCUUUAGAAAUCCAGAUGAAAAUUUGAACUACCUGACUUAAUAUUAUGUGUAUUAUCAACAAAUUUGAGAAGAUAAUUUUUUUCCCCAAAAUAAAAUGGCCUUGCUUGCAUGUUGAAAGCAACUGAUUUUCCUUUUAUUUGCGAGUGUGAACUUAUAUAACACGAGUUAUUUCUUUGGUUCUUCUAACAAUAUCAGAAAUCUGAUAAAUAUUUGAAUUCAAGGAUUUAAUUUGAUUAAUAUUAUUUUUUAUCAUUUUUUUUUUAGUAACAAGAAAAGGAAAAAAACUAAGGUUAAUUUGAUGCUAUGUUGUGUGAGAAAAGAAAAAGAAGAGAAAAAGAAAGAAAAGUCUUGUGCUUCACAAUAAAUUUGGUCUUGCACAGCAAAAGCAAGCAUAUUUAAAGUGCCAUGUAAUAAAUGGUUUCUCUGCAAGGAAAAGGAGUGAGAGAAGCAAAAGAGAUUAUGUCUGACCAUUUAUAUAUAUAUAUAUAUAUGUUCAUGUGCUCAAAAAAAAAAAAAAUUAAAUAGAAAUUCAUUAUUCAAAACCAGACUCCAUCACCAUGAUUUAAACAAAAUAAUCACCCAAACUAAAUUGAUAUAAGAUGAUCAAAGUAUAUCGGAAUUGUGUGCAUGAUGCCGUUUUGCAUAUUUUGAGCUCAUACUGUUUUUGGAUGUGGACAAAAAUAAAAAUAGGAGCAUCCAAAUUUACUAGUUACUGUUAACUAGUAAGUUAAUGUAUUAAGCCUACAUUGACACAUGCAAUUCUUGCAUUACUAGCUAGUUCAGGGUUGUAAAUGUUGUAUGAUUAUUUAAGACUUCAUGGUCUUAGCCUUGAUCAUCCGAAUGUUUGCAAUAAGAUGACUUGACCAUUCCACAACACACCACCCUUUCCUGGGCUUCAACAGGGACUUAAGACACACCCAUCAGGGCUUAUUCCUAAGCCACCAAUUGUCAUAGUGGUAUUAUUGAAUACCUAAUGGAAUUGAUAGAUCAAUAAAAUCUAUCAGAAUUUUUGCAAUGAAUAAUUGUUUUACUAACAAGACAAAGGCAUGAGAUCCAGGCUAGAGAGUUUAUAAGCAAGAUAACCAAUUAACACAAGCCCCAAAAGGAGGGGAGAAAAACAACUGCAAUUAUUUACAUUUCAACCACUAACCAUAGAUAGUACGCUGUGGCACUUUCUUAAAGAUGGCCCAUAUGAGAUCAAAGUAGAAGGGAAACUGUGCCACCGCAAAAAAUGUUACUGGGAGGCACGCCACUGCAUACACGGGGAAUGCAGUUUGUUUCAGUACAUUUUUUAGUAGGAAAAAGUGCCCUGCACAGAAGCAAACCAACAUAGCUCCUAUGGAUAUAAAGAGAGAUGUUAAACCUAGCAAUAGCUUUCGCGGCAACCCUCUACCAAAAUCUUUCACUUGGUAUCUAGAUGUUAGAAUUGCCAGAAAAGUGACCACAGAGGUGACUGAAAAGGAUAGAGCAAUGAGGGAUGAAAUUGCAUAGACCAGAAAUCCCGGAUGGUGUUCAAGGGUAGGUUCGCUGCUAUUUUCCUUGAAGCCUCCUGGUAUAGUGGCUGUUGUGGCGAAGGCUACGGUUGUAACAAGUGUUGCUACUACUGAACAUGAAUUUGAGGUGUUGCUUAGCCAUUUGCCUCCUUCUCUUACAAGUUCUUUGUGUGAUUCUGUGAAGAUCUCCUUGGGGACCUGGUUCUUGUUGUUGUAGCGAAUGAAGAAAUGUCUUGGUACAGAAUUCUUCACGUACUGCGCUAUUAAACCCAUGUAUCAGGGCUAAUAUAUAAUAGUCUGCUUACCAAGUUAGAACUUUACGAUAUGCUUUCCAAAGAAUAAUGCUAAUUCAUAGAAAAUUAACAACCCCAUAUAGAGAUGUUCAUGAUUUUGUACAGUCGAGAAAGAAUUUUCCAUGAGGAGAACUAAUUCAAUUGUUGAUGCAUUAUCUUCUGAAAAAAAAAAAAAAACAACCAAAAAUACAUAAAUAAGUCUGGGUGGCAUACCUUAUACCAUUUGAUCUCCCAUUGCAUUUGCAAAGCUGCAAAGGGAUAUGGCCUAUAAUCUCCUAAAGUUGCUGCAAGAUGUAAUGCACUGUUCCCCUCACUAUCAACCAUACGAAAUGCACUUUCUUCCAGAGGUUUCCGAUUGAGUAAUAGCUCAUAAACACUGGUUUGUCUAUUCUUCACUGCCAACAGCACUAUAUUCUUCUGGUCUGAAUCUACAUGGCGAAUGGCUGCUGGAAAAAGUUUAAGGAUCUUCUCCACCAUUUCUAUGAUGCCAUUCUCUGCUGCAAUUAAUACUGGUGACUUCCUUUUUCCCAUCCCCCAAGUUCUCUUCAAUGCUGACAAGAUUCAAUAUCUCAAGGUUCAAUUCUUGAGCCAAAGUGGCCAAUGUUCUGCUGUUACAAUAAGUAUCUUUGUUUUUCUACUUCAAAUAUAUCUUCCUCUUCGUCAGUGAUACUGAAAGUAAAAGUUGGUAUUUUCUUUUUUUGGACGUCUGUGCAUUAGUAACUUGCUAAAUAUAUUGAUUACAUCACAAAUAUAUGAUAAUAGGUUUUUCAGUUCAAUCCACCAAUUGCAGGGGCAGUAGGUGAUUUAAGCAAGGGAAGUUAAGCUGUAUCUUUCAUAAUUAUAUACCUUAUAUAGAUAGUACAUAUGCUGCUAACUGCAUAUACAUUUGGCUUUAUUAAGUUAUAAUUUGGACUUUCAUAGUAGGCAAUGUGAGAAAAUUACCUUCUUCCUUCUGUUUAAUUUCUGAAGAAUGAUGUGCAGAAGCCUUCGGCCUUGGCUCUUCCUCAGACUCACUAUCAUCAAGGCUUGCUUCUCCAUAAUAUGCCAAGAGUGAUGUUUCCUGAUCAAAAACUUUUUUAUAACGUUUUCCUGGUACCAUCCAAUGUGAUGUUGGGUCAAUUUGAUCAUAAGGUACUGUUUCUCCAGAUCUCGGUUGUGAGAGCUGGGGAAUACUUCCACUAUCAUAUUCGAAAGGUUCAACAUAUUUAAGCAUUCAUCCAUGAUUUGAACAGACCAUGUGUGCUUUUCUUUCUUCUCUUUUAUCUUAUUUAUAUGUCUUGAUCCUGUCCACCACAAUCAAACACAACAUACAUUGAACCAAUAUUAGCACUUUGGAUAUGAACAGAAUAUGUGUAUAUCAUUCUAGUGUCUAAAUAUAUAUAUAUGGUGAUCAUACCAACUAUAACAGCCGGCAAUGUCCAUGCUUUAGCUACAAGCUUGAUGAAGUUCUCAUAGCAAAUGCCAUAAUAAUUUGGAUGAGGCCGCUCUUGUCUUCGAGCGUUAUGGCUUGAUUGUUUACCUGUAAAUUAAAAAGAGGUUUGGAGUAUUCUCUAGUUUAUUUUCAGAGCAAUACUCUUACACUAGUAUUCAUUUGGGAUCUACGUAGCACACAAAUUGAGAACCCAAAAAAUAAAUAAGUAAAUAAAGGUUCUCAAAAGAAAACAUUUAUGGACUAAUUAAACUUGGUUGAUUAGGGAUACAAGCAAGAAAUUUAUUGGAAGAUAUAUCUCAAGCUCAAUAAAUUAAUGAUUUAAUUUGUACUCAAUAAAUUAAUGGUUCUAAAAAAAAGUGCUCAAUCAAUUAAACCAGAUUGUCUAAAAUUGAACUUUUCAUCCUAAUUUGCUCUUGAGCUGAAUUCAAGAAGGUUCUGGAUUUACUUAUUAGCCCAAUGCAAAUUCAUGAGUAACUAUCUGGUCAAAGUCUCAUAUGCAUAACUAAAAUGAUGAAUUAAUAUGGGAAUCACUUAACCCACCUGAUGCUUUGAUCAUGUUCCAUAAGUUGGUUAAUAUAUAGAAAUUCUCUGUAUGGUUAGGGUUCUCGUCAGCUUCAUAUUUCUGUGGAAGGAGCUUUUUGACAGGCACACCUUGCAAAAUAACAUUGCAAUGAAACAUUUUCACAUAGUAAACUAAUACAUGAUUGCCCCAAAAUUAUCCUACAAAAACCUUCAUUGAAAAAUAGAUAUGGGAUUCUCAAUCGCUUCAAGGCAAGUGAUUUAUGGAUGUGCUUCUCUCACGCACACCCUAGGCUAGAUUUGUGAAUAAAAACUGUUAUUAUAAUAUAGUUUAGAUUAUUAUAUAAAUUACAGGUACAUAAUGACUUAGGAUAAUGGGGUAGAUGACUUUAAACAACAAAUAUCAAACAUAGAGCAUGAAGGUAGAUCUGCAUCAGGCAUUGAUCGGCUGGCUGUCGUCACUGGCCCUGAAAAUUAGAUAUCAAAACCUGUGGGCAGACCUAGGUUCCAAUUCAGCGACUCCUAUGUCACAACUUUACAAGUUUAUUGGAAAUCCUUUAGUCAGUGGAAGGAUACUUACAAAGAUAAAUGAUUUCAUCGAACCAAUUCAGUCGAGUUCCGCUUCUGAAUAAAGUAGCCUUAGAAGCAAGGAGGUGGAGAGGGGAGAUUCCUCUCUCAUCGACAUAAUUGACGAGGUCAGGAUACUCAUGAAUAAUUGUAAAUGCCAAAUCUAUCAUGCACAACAUUGAAAAUGUUAUAUAAAUAAAAGCAUGAGCCUUUAUAUAUAUAUAUCAAUUGGUCAAUUCUGCUGAGAUGAUAACAUUAUAACAAAUGUAUAGAACACAAAUGAAAAUAUGUUACCCUAAGUUAUAAGGCAUGAAGCAAAUAAAUUAUCUAUUCCUAUAGAUGUUCAGAUGAAUAAAUAGAAAACAAUAAAUGGGGCCUGAAAGCAUUGCUCACCGAAGUAUUCUCCGGUGAUGGCACAGUGAAGACUAUUUUCUCCAUCACUCCUCCGAAGGUACUCAUGCACUUUGUUGUUAGCAGUACUGCUACAUAUGUUAGAGAGGCAAAGGAAAGCGUCUUUCAUGCCAUGGAGAGCUGCUAAGAAGAGAGGGGUCUCAUUUUCAUUGUUGCGAACACCCACCAGUUCUGGAUACUCAGCAGCUAUGCACUUGCACAUGCGAACGUUGCCUACUGACGCCGCCAAAUGGAGAGGGGUGUUCCCCCGAUCAUUUUUUAUAUUAAUCAGAUACACGUUGCGAUGGGCCAUCAGUUGGACUAGUUUUACCACUACAUCUUCUCUGCCAUCUGAUACUGCUAUAUGCAAUGCCGUGUCCCCUGAUGUAGCGGUCUUCUCAUCAUGAGCCCACGGAUCUUCCUUGCAUAUAUCUACAACUUUUUCCCAUUUCCCUUGCAUGGCAUAUGAAAUCAAGCUUGGUCCAGUGGCCCCUUGUUCUGUGUCCACGACAAAUGCCAUUCUUCCUCUUCUUAGAACAACUACUACUGUUCUAUUGCUGAAGGUACCAAGGAUGAUUAUUGUAUAUGUAGAGCAAACAAGCUGUCCCAACUGUGGCAAGCCACCAUAAACUGAAAGUGAUACCUUGCUCUGGAUUCGGGAUGAGCACAAUUUUAUGGACCCCAAAAAGAGAACAUCCAUGUUUCAUUAUCCUCUUAACUAUCAUAUUUUAAAAUUUUAUUUAGAAAAUUUGGAAAAAUAAAAAUGGGAUAUUUAAAACGCAUCAAAUUACUUUUUAAAUGUGAAUGACUCAUUCAAUUAUAAUACUGAUGAAUAAAGUAAAGCUAAACUCUUGCACAGAAGGACAUUCUUUUCAAUGAAUUCAAGGAAAGAAUAAUUGUGGAAUAAAGUAAAAUCUAGUGAGAGGAUCUCUAUCUGGCAACAAAAACUCAAGGAAAGUAUCAUCUUGAGGAAAUUAAAAUAAAGAAAAGAAUAAAUAAUGAGUAAAAUAAGAGAAAAAUUAUUUUGAGAUUAAUUAAAAUUUUGAAAAAUGAAAGAGAUGUGUUGUUGCAUAUAAACAUUUCAACAAUUGAAAACCAAUAAGCCACGAUGGCUGAAAUAAGGCUACAUAAAAUCAUGCAAAAAGAUGAUGGUUUUCAAUAAACCAACUCAAGGGAGCACUGUAUCUAUCUAGGAAUGAAGUUAAAUCUGUGCUAAUAGAGAUUUUUCUCAACAAGCGCAAGAAAAGCAUAAGGAAAAACUCAAAACACAUAUAUUCAUACCUAAAUAAAUAAAUAAAUAAAUCCCUGAUCUUCCUUUUCCCUGGGGCAUCUUGCUUUUUGUAAGCAAGGCUUAUAAUGGCUCAAUUCAAUUGUAACCACAAAUUCAAUAGUCCAUCAUAUCAUUUAAUCACAUAACAUUUAAUAUAGAAGAAGACACUUGUACAUAAACUUAAUAUCAAUAAAAUCUCUUCUCACCAUCACUAAGAAGAAACCACCCGCUAAAACAUGGAAUCCACAAGCCCAAAACAACGAAGUCAAAUCUAUGUAAGGCAAAACAUUAGAGAGGAGCCACCUUGUAGCUUCGCUGUGGCACCUUCUUAAAAGUGGCCCACAUAAGAUCGAAGUACAGAGGAAACUGUGCCACGGCAAAGAAGAUUACUGGAAGGCAGGUUACUGCAUAUACAAGAAUGGCAGUGUAUUGCAGUUUAUCCAUAAGGACAAAGUAAUGUCCGGCACAGAAAGAGAUUAGCAUCGAAGCUAUGGACACAAAGAGCGAUGUCAAGCCUACUAGAAGUUUCCUUGGCAAGUAGAUGCGAAAAUCUCUCUCUUGGUAUCGAGAGGUUAGAAUGGCAAGAAACAUGAUCACAGCAUUGACUGAGAAACAAAGCGCGACAAGAGAAGAUAUGGCAAAAAUGUCAAAUGCCGGCUCGUCUUCUAGCGUUGGUGUUCCAACUUUUUCUUUCACCCCACCUGGCACAGUGGAAGACGUUGCAAAGGCCACGGUUGCAAUGAGGGCUGCCACCACGGAGCAUGACUCAGAGGUUUUGAAUAGCCAUUCACCACCAGCUUGGACAAGAUCCAUGUGUUUCUCGGUGAAGAUAUCCUUUGCAGUCUCACCCUUCUGGUUGCAGCGUACAAAGAAAUGUUGUGGCACGGACCUCUUAACAAACUGCAUAGUUCAAAGUUCAAAUUAACAAGGAAAAGGAAGAGUUCUUCAUAAGUUUCUCCAUCCGUUUUCUUUUUUUCUAUAUAGCAAUAUAUCAUAUAAUUUUACAAAAUUAAAAACAUUUACGCAUUUUGUCUGAUCAUAACUUUAAAUAUUCUAAUUAAUUUUCUUAAGAAUCUGGUAUUACUCGAUUAUCUAGAAUGAUGCAGCCAACAGAAUGUAAACUUCUGAACCUCACAUUGUUCAGGCAAUCAUUUCAACCACAAUUAGUAGUGUCCCUGAGAGUAGCAGGUUUAGGGUUUAAUCCUCCUACCCCAAUAUAUCGUACCCUUCAUUUCUUAUGGUCUACACCUUUUAAAAUGGAAAGUUAAUACUGAAAUCAUAAUGGAUAAUUGCAUACCUCGUACCACUUUAUUUCCCACUGCAUCUGCAAAGCGGCACCAGGUAUAAGCCAAGGCUUAUUCUCUCCAAGCAUUGCAGCCAGAUGUAGUGCACUAUUGCCAUCUAUGUCCACGUGCCGAAACACGGCGUCCUUGAGGACUUUUCUUUUGACUAACAGCUCAUAAACAUGGGGUUGCCUGUACUCCACUGCCAACAACACAAUGUUCUUUUUUUGGUAAUCCUUGUCAUGGAUGGCCACUGGAAAAAGUUCUAGAAUUCUCUCCACAAUUUCCACCACACCAUUCUUUGCUGCAACUAAUAAGGGUGUCUCUUUUCUCUCCAUUUCCGAUGGUUUCUUCUUAUCUGCCAAUAUCAGAUGAUUAAAUUUUAUUUAUUAAGAAAUUCUGACCACAUAAUGGAUGACAAGUAUUAGAUCAAAGAUAAAACUCUUGCCAAGAAUAAAUAUAAUUGCUAGAGAUAACUGUUACCUUGUUCAUUUUUCUUAUUUUUACCAUUGUCAUUCUGUUUUCGCUGAGCUUCUGGUGAGCUUCGAUCAGCGGGAGCUCCUUUAUCUUCACCCUGUUGAUUAGUUGCUGAAGAAGGUUGAGCUGCUGUGCCUCCCGGUAGAUGCUGACUUUCUAAGGUGUUGUCAAAAGAAACACCAUGAUCAUCCGAGAUGCUGUAAGGUGUUGUGUCAGCAUCUUUCUUCUGUGAUGGUUGUUGAGGAUUUCUUCCAUUAUCUUCGUACUCAUAAAAAGAAGCAUGACAAAGAAGUUCAUCCAAGAUCUGUGCAGCCCAUACGUGCUUCUCUUUUUUCUGCCGGACCUUCUUUACGGCCUUAAAUCCUUAGUACCAUCAGAUAUAACAACCUUUGAGAAAAUUGAAGUCCUGCAUACUGGACAAUUGAAGUCUAAAGGAUUGGUGUAAAGGAUGGUAUGGAAAGGCUUACCAAAUCCGAGAAUUACUAAUAUUGCCUUGAAUACAAACUUGAUUAUAUUAAAGCAAGUGUGGUAAUUGGAGGGAAUCAGUUGAUGCCCUUGUGACUGCAAUUCUCCUUUCGCCUUCAUGUUUGAUUGGUUUCCUGAACAAAAUAAUUGGAAAAUUCUAUUUGAAUUGUCACAACACAAAAAUUAAAAAGGAAACAUAGAGAUCAUUACAAGCAACCUAUAAUGUGCAGAAACUUAGGCUAUUUUACUAGCGGAAACCAACCCAAAUGGUUCUUUCAGAGAUCUUGUAAUUGUUUUUUAUAUAAUAAAAAAAAUGACGCAUUCAAAAGAUAUAGCCCAAAACAAAUUUUAGAAACGUGUUGCUGAACAUGUUCCUGCAUUAUUUUCACUUUUCAUGUUCCUGGAAAUGGAAGACAGUAGUAUGCACUUCCUCUAGGAGAUUGGUCCUUUACAUUGCAAAAUUGGAUACAACCAUGUGAGAGCUAGCAGAAAAAUCUAUCCCUUUUUUUGUUGCAUGUUGGCUCAUUUUAAUGUCUCAAAAUAUUCUUUUUCUGAUCUUACAAAGGUUCUGAAGUGACAUUUAAUUUCAAUGUAGGCUGCCCCCCAUGCACAAGACAAUGGUCCAUAAGCUGCUCUGAGUAUACUGUGAUAAUGCAUAUAGGAACAGCUCAUGCUUUUUUUCUGAAGCCCAUUAAACAUAGAUGCCAGAUAGAGAAGAUGAUUGCUAACCACUGGGAUCCUCCAGAUCAGCUUGCCCACCAGUUCCUGGAUCUUUUCCGGUAUUAGCUGAAAAUGGGAAGUAGCUUAAUGACUACUUUUAGCAUAGAGGGAAGUCGUAACAGAACAUUCAAAAAGCAAGGCAUCAGUUUAAUGCUGCCAAUUCACAGAUCCAUGGAUAUCACCAUGCAAAUAAGCCUAUUGCUAAAGAGUACUACUACAUGUACAGAGGCUUCGCAUAAGAGAUUCUCCGCGCUACACUCAAUGAAAAGUGUCACCCUCUAUUUUGCAGAAGAUUAUUUUAUGUUCCCGAGUCUGUGAGAGAAUCAAUAGAGAGAACCUCUAAAACAAACUUUAUUCCUCCUACCACUAAAUAUGUAUCUUUCUAGGCCAACAUGCAUAAUUUACCUCAACUUAGGCUUGCACUGACUUCUUGCAUUUCACGUUUCUAUGAUAGCUAAGCUGCUAACAUCUCAGCAAAAUAAUUUAUAACUGGGGAUUUUUUUUUUCCUUUAUAAUGUUUUUAAAAUUUUAAAACAUAGUUAAUGUACAACAAAAGAGAUGAUACUUACCAUUGGUAGUCUUCUGAUCUGAUUGCUCAAGAUUUGUGUUUGGACGGUUUCCAGGAUCAACUGAAAAUGGGGAGAGGCUCAGUGAGGGCUUUUUUAUUAGAAUACAGGAAAUGGAAGUGCCAAGACAAAUAUAUAAGAACAGUGCCUAAUCCAGACCCGAAUGAAUUUAAGCCUGAAAGCCUAGCAAGAAAUAACUUCAGUGAAUUGGCCUGAUGGCCCUAACUUCGAAUGGAAGUAGACUGAUUUUGAUUUGUAUUUGCAGUCUUCAUAGAAUAUGUGAAUUCAGGGUCGCAUGCUUCGAUGGUGCUCAUCUAGUCUAAGAUUAAUAGAUGGGAGGUCCCAGAAAAAUCACCUCCCAAAGCAAAAUUACUUAUAUGGUAAAACACUAAAACUACUUAGUUGGGACAACAUAAAAUAUGAUUAAACAAAUAAAAAGAAAAAGUGUAGUUCUAUGAUAUCGUCACCCACAUAGUAUUGUCAAGGCCGACCAGGGCAAUCGGAGGAAAUUGAUGCAUGUUUGGUAGUUCUCUGGACAUAGAGGAUCCUUUUCUUCAUCAAAAGUUUUUACGAUAGCUUCCUCCUGCUUGAAUGUUUCCUCCUCAAGCUUUUCAACAAAUAUACCUUGAAAAUAACAGUCAAUAGAGCAAAGUGAAAACUGUAGUUAUGAGACAAUGUUCAUCAUUGCCAAAAUACAUUUAAGGCCUUGUUUGUACAGGCUUUCAAAGAGAGAAAAGCUCUUUUACUCAAAUGGAGUGUCAAAAAGAUAAAAUCCUAUUCCCAUGAAAUCCACUUGAUUUGCCACCAAUCCCGUGCAGAGGAUUGUGCUUAAUUCACGUCUAGGCAGAACUGGAAUACCAAAGUAAGGCCUAUUGAGGAAAGGGAAAUGUGCUGCCAGACAUUAUUUGAGGAAGGAAGUAGUUUUGAAGGAAAAGUGAUUCUUACAGUGAUAUAUGAUGUUGGUGAACCAUCGAAAAUGACUCCCGCUUCUGAAAGCAGAAUGUUUGGUGGCCAGGAGAUGGAGAGGCGACAAUCCUUGCUCAUUUACGGAGUUAACAAGAUUCUUGUACCGGCUAAUUAUUUGAAAAGCCAAAUCUAUCAAACACAAUGAUAAAUCUUUAAUCAGAUUAUUUUCAAAGGAUAAGAUAUACUUUAAUCAGAUUGAGUUGCUUAUCGAUAUAGAGUUAUUUUCAAAGGAUAAGAUAUACUUUAAUCAGAUCAUGAACAAGAUUCUAGCAAAGCACUCACCAAAGUAUUCUCCCGCGAUGGCACAAUGAAGAAUGGUAUCACCAUCAUUCCUCCUACAGUAAGUGUUGCCCUUAUCCAAUCCGCAUAUUUCAUCGAGGCAAAUAAAAGCUUCUUUCUUCCCAUGUAGUGCAGCCAAGAAGAGAGGAGUCUCACUGUCAUGGUUGCGGGCGCCAAUCAGGUCCGGGAGUGCAUCAGCAAUGCACUUACACAUCUCCAUGCUCCCCAUAGAUGCUGCUAAAUGGAGAAUGGUAUUCCCUCGCUCAUUUUGUAUCUUGAGAACCUCCUUGACCUUAGCUUUACCCCGGAUAAUGAGUAGUAGCUGUUCCACAAUACGCGCUUGGUCAUCAGAAACUGCUACAUGUAAUGCUGUGUCCCCUGAUUUUGUGAUUUUGGCCAUGUGAACUUCUUCAUUUUCCUUAUAUAUGUUCACAACUUCAUCCCAUUUACCCUGCAUGGCACUUCUGAACAGUUUCUUUUUAAUCACCUCCAUAUUUUGUCUUGUCUCCCGAGUAGAAGCCAUUUUUCCUGUCUUCUUCUUAAUGUAAACUACUUCUGGGAACUUAAUUUGGAUGGAAAAGAAUGGGGUAAGGAUGAUGAUAUUUAUGCUGUUUAGUAAAGUAUGUUUGGAUUAUAAAAUUCAAAAGAAGUUAGCAUGGUAGGACUGAGAUAAAAGGAUUUCUACUUUAUCUUGCAUCGAAAUGGCUAAAGAACAUAUGAUGAAAUAUUCCUAACUGCUAAACCAAGAAACCUUUCUGCUUUAGCCACAAUCCUCUUGACGUGUCACCCACAUUUAAAUACAAAAGUCUGCUGUUCACAACCGUUUUUUUUUUUUUUUUACUAUUAAUUGCAUAUUGUCUUUACUCUCUCUCUCUCUCUCUCCCACAUAUAAAUACAAAAGUCUGCCGUUCACAACCUUUUUUUUUUUUUUUUUACUAUUAAUUGCAUAUUGUUUUUACUCUCUCUCUCUCUCUCUCUCCCACAUAUAAAUACAAAAGUCUGCAGUUCACAACCUUUUUUUUUUUUUUUUACUAUUAAUUGCAUAUUGUUUUUACUCUCUCUCACCCACAUUUAAAUACAAAAGUCUGCAGUUCACAACCUUUUUUUUUUUACUAUUAAUUGCAUAUUGUUUUUAUUCUCUCUCUCUCCCACAUUUAAAUACAGAAGUAUGCAGUUCACAACCUUUUUUUAUACUAUUAAUUGCAUAUUUUUUUUACUCUCUCUCUCUCUAUAUAUAUAUACUUUUUAGAUUUAGAGCUAGCUAAGAUCUUGACGUACAUUAUUUUUUAUAUUCAUGCACUUGAUUGAUUUUCCCCUAUUAAUUAAACUCAUAAUAUUUCAAAUUUAUUUUCUUCAACAUCAUGACUGUGUGGCCUUUUUCUUUUCCAAAAUGCAUCCUUAUCUCAUUUAAAGUAAGAUAAGAGAAAUAAAAAGAAAGUGAAUGCAACAGAAGCUUUGCAAUGCACAUAGUCAAAAGCAAAUGUCUAGUGCAAUUAAUAAAAUGGUGGAAUAUGUGAAUGGGAAGCAGGGCUUUAGAUUGGCUACCUUUCUUUUCUUUUGAUUUUAUCACCUUCUCUCCCUUUUUCUGGUCAAAGAAAGGGCAGUGUCAUAUUCUUAGACUUGAUUUACAUGAUCUGUUGAAUAUAUAAAUAUUUAUACCUACCUGCACACCAUAGUGAUAGAUGAAGAUAUGACCAUAUCACCAUGCAACUUGGGGGAAUUGGUAAAGUUGAUUAUUAACGCAAGCCCAAUCUUAUUGAAGAAACAAUCAAAUUCAAUUUAAAUUCAACCCAAACUCUAAUAUAAGGUACUUGACCCUAGUUUAACCCAAUCUCAUUUUUCUAAAUUCGGUUUAAAUUCGAGUUAGUCAAGUUAAACUCAGAUUGAUCGAGUUAAAUUCAAAUUGGUUGUAUUGAUUAGGUUAUAAGAUUCAAAAUACAUUCAUAGUGGUGUAAAAAAAAAUCUAUAUAUUUAUAUCAAAAUUUAAAAAUAUAAAUAAUAUAAAAUUUUAAUAUAAUAAUAAAAUAAUAAAAAUAAACUUAUAUAUUUUUUAUUAAAAAUGUAAAAGCACAUAAUAUAAGUAUAAUUUGGUUUUUUUUUCUUUAAAAUCUAAAAGAAAAAUGAAUAUUAUCAUAUAAGAUAAUAAAAUUAUAAAUAUUAUAAAAAUAUUAAAUCAAAUUCGAGUUAAACUCGAUUUGUUUGAAUAUUGACCCAAACUCAAUCCAAAUUGAGUUUCAAUUGUAAAAACUUAACUCAAUUUCAAUUUGAAUAAUGAAAAUGUUUAUCCAAAUCCAUCCGAGCAUCGGGUCCGACUCAUGUUGGGUAUCAGGUUGGGUUGGGUUAACACUUCGAAAUUGCACCCCUAGCUAUGGAGCAAAGAAAACAAACCGCAACAAAUAUUGAGAUAUAGGACAAAGGAAAAAAAACAACUAGCAACAAAUUUGGAAGUUUAUCUAUCCCCAAAAUACUAAAAACCUCAAUAGCCACACCCAUUAGGGCAUUCCUCAUGAACAUUAACUUAUGGUUCUGAGUCCUCCAUAACCUCAAGCUUGACAGGAGCAAUACCAGGUUCAUCAACAAUGGCGUCCAGGUCUCCAGUCUCCCCUUCCAAAUGAGCCAUCAGCAUGGCCACGACAAGCCCACCUACACACUCCAUCAUCGAUGUUUUAUCACCCUUCCCACUCUUGCACAUGGAACCCAUAAUCGCCCCAAUGGAUGUUCCAAUGCAAUUGGUGCAAUAAUCAUCAUCUAACAUGUCCAUGUGACCAUAAUCUGGAAUAACAAAGCCAAGGCAAUUAUCCUUGCACUCGUUGAAAAACUCCGCGUAGUUGAGCCCAUCAGGAGCACAAGAACAUGGUAUGCAGCCGAUGACAGACUCGCCCCCAAGACCCGUACCGAUUACCAUAACCGGGAUAUCCAGAAUGAAGGAAUGAGGGACACCAGUUAGGAUCUUUGGACACAUUUUCAUGCAUUUAUUUGCCCCAGCAACCGGGUCUAUACCUAUUAGGGUUAAGAACUUGAGAUUCAUGGAUACGUUGGCAUUCCCCAGUGCAAGAGCAAAUGCUAGAUAACCCCCUCUGCUAUGGCCUGCAAGGGCGAGCCUGCUUAGGUCUGGAACAACAUUUUCUGGGAGCACAGAUUGAAGGCCUGAGCUUAACCAGUUGGCGACUUCCGCUGCAGAGUUGAUAUCCGGUCGGCCGUACAAAGAACAUAGGCUGAGUAACUAGACAAACCAUCAACCAUUGCAUAAUAUUAGUUGAUUUUGAAAGAAUGUAAAAAAAAAAAUAAAAAAAUAAGGGAAAAGGGAGUUGGACAGAUACCCUAGGAGCCACAACAAUAUCUCCAUGAGAAGAAAUAUGCUCAAGGAGGUUCGUAUAGCAGCAGGGGCAGAUGUUGUAGCCAUGAAGAAACAGGAGAACUGGGUAUGUUCCUUCAGUGUCUGGUGUUACAAUAAACAAUGUCUUUGGAGCGUUACAAGUUGUUAUGGGUUUCGCUGUGUAGUUUCCUCGCUUAAAAACAUCUGUUGCUGCCGCCGGUGCAGGCCUAGCUUCUAACGCUGCCAUUGCUCUCCCUCUCCCUCUCUCUCGGCAUGUUGAAACACACAGGCGGUCUUAUCCUAUAAUGGGUGGAGGAUCGGCGUUCACGCCCCACAUGGUGAUCCAGUGCCAUAUUUUUCUAUUCUAAAUAAUAAAAAAUAUGUUGAUUGAUAAUAAAGGGUUUUGUCAAAAAUAUACUGAUUCUAAAUACUAAUAGCAUUCAUAUAAAAAAUAGAUUAUUCUUCAAACAAUAACAUAGAAAAUGUCAAAUUCAAAUGAGAAUUAUUUCAUUCCUUUUAACCAAUUAAUUCUAAUAAAAAAACAUGUUUAAGCUCCAAUCACCCGAUAUUUCCUUCACACGCAACCUUGCGACAUGAGUUUGAAGAAAUAUGCAAUAGAGCUUCAAACUAUCAGAAGUGUAGAACUUAGAACACGCAAAAUAUGUAGUGUUUGUGCUGCAUUCAAUCUGCAUAAUUAAUGGGAUUCAGCAAAACCCCAUUAGUUAUACUUAUACCUUUAUCUCCAUCUCCAUUUAUAUUUGUUUGAGGUUUUAGCUCAAACUCUUAUGAUUUAACUAAUGUUUGGUUGGCGAAAAAUUUGAGGAAAAAUGUAAAAGAAAAAAAAUAAAGAUGAAAAGUAUUAAAAAAAAAAUUAAAAAAGUAGAUUUAAAGUCAUAAAUUUUUUUUUAAGUGUUACUUUAAACCCAUUUAACUUACUUUUCCACUUCUACGUGAACAUAAAAUAAUUUUAAAGUGAAUAAAAUUUUAAUUAAUUUUAAAUAUAUUUUAAUUUAUUUCAUAUUUUUUCAUAAUAAAACUAAACAUAAAAAAAUUAUUUUCAUAGGUAUUUUUUUUCUUUGCUUUGUACUAUUAAGAACUAAACACACCCUAAAUGAACUUGGGGGAAUAUUCUUGGCUAAAAUGUCACCUUAAACUUUAUUUUUAAAAACAUAGCAUCUAUGUUUCAAUUAAAGAUUAAUCUUUGAAAUGGUCCCCACCCCAAAAUUUAAAAAAAAAAAAAAACUUUAUUUUUAAAAACAUAGCAUCUAUAUUUCAAUUAAAGAUUAACCUUUGAAAUGGUCCCCCCACCCCGAAACAAAACUAGGAAAGUGACCCAAGCCAAGAAUGACAAAUUUUAAUAAAGACAGUUUGGCUGCACUUUGCAAUGAGCUAGGACAGUAUUAUUGAUCUUCAUGCAACAAUUCCUAGUGAAAAAAUUAGAGGGAAAAAAAAAAAGACACAAAUUUAACGUGGUUAGAUAGAUUGCCUACGUCUACAAGAAUAGGAAAGAAGAUUUUCAGUAUAUUUAAAUUAGGGUUACAUAAAAGGGUAUUUAUACUAACCCUCAGGUAUUAAAAUUUCAAAAAUACUCUUGAACUAUACUACAUGGGUAUUUGCCCCUUUUUCUCUAUAUGUUUUUCACUCAAUAUAAGCCACAUACUACAAGUAUCUUGGGUUUCAUCUUCAAUGGGUGUGUCCUUUUCUUUCUUUGAACAGAAAGAAUAAUAAUAAGUAUAGACAAAAGCAUAUUGUAUGGAUGAUAUGGAUCGAUCCUUUCAUAUUUGCAUUCUCUGAUUUCUCUUUCAGAUAUUUUAGCACCUAUAUAUUGGUUAACCUUGAAGGGGACACAAAGGAUUUGGGUGUCAUUCUCAAAAGAAUUAACCUUUCUUGUCUCUCAUAAAAUUUGUGCUAAAUCCAAGUAAUCAUCUUGGAUUCAUAAAUAAUGGUUAAUUUUAAGUGAUCUUAGACUCACAAUGCGAUAAGGAAAGGUUUAGUAAGAGCAAGUUUAAAAGCUUCGAGGGGUUAGCACCUCCCAAUACAACCCUGAGAUGAGAUGAUAAAUAAGUUUGAUGGAUGUCUUACUUUUCAUGGAGCAAGUGUUUAAAUACAAAAAAAUACUCACACAAAUGACCACUAAAAUAGAAACAAACCAACUACGUAAAUGAAUGACCCAUAUCUCAUGCAGCUCACUAGCAACUAAAGACUAGGACAAAUAAUUAAAAUGUAAUGAAUGCAUAUCUUCAUCUAUUUAAUUAAUAAAAUAAAAGUUAUAAAAAAAUACUUAAUACAUAUUCUUAAGCCCAUGAGCAGGUUAUCUUUUAUCAUAGACUACCUUAAUCUUCGACCAUCCUAAAGCAUUUCGUCUUGAUCAUUUGACUAUCCAUCAAGUGAAACGGUUCCUCACUAAAGAAAACCAAAGUUCCACUCCAACCAAGGAAAGAGAUAAAUCACAUCUUGGCCAAAUGUCAAUCCUCCUAGUUUGACUAUAUGAUGAAGUUACUCAAUAUAUAUAUAUAUAUUAUGUUUUUCAUCAAUUAUUAAUUUAUAUUUUUUGGGGCCUUCAAAUAUUUUUGAAAAUAUUAUUAUUUUAUGUAUUUAGUGAGUUAUUAACUUAGUAUACUAGUCCAAGUUGGAAUCGAAAAAAUUCAUUAUUUAAAUGAAAUUAUUAAUUUAUGAAGGUUUUACUGUAAUGUUUCAAUCGUACAUAUAGGGAGCAAAGGUUUCAUAUUGUUAUAGUUUAUUUGGUUGACUACAAAUAACUCAUCAAUAGAGAGCAUUACCCCCCUAAAGAAAAAUAGUUCUUAGUCUUUUACAAAUUUUUACUUAUGUCAUUAAUUUGGUAAAUUCUCAUCUCAUCUAUAGAAAAUAUUGUUAAUAAAACAAGCUCAUAGUAUUAUAGCAUAAGAUUGUACUUCUACAUGGUAGCAUACUAUUAUUGUCGACAAUUACACUUUAGUCCAUUAUUUUUGAAAAAUUAUACCAACACCCGAUGAGCAGCCUGAUUAGAGCAAGACCACGCUUUUGACCAACUAUGACCAUUGACGUAUAGGUGAUUGUUAAUUGUCGCCAUUGAAAAUUUAAUGAAAAUCCUUAAAAUACCCUCAAUUACCUUAUUUAAUAUAAAAUGCCUAAAAUACCCCUUAAACCUUAUCUUACAUAACCUUACCUCAUCACAUUAAUAAAAUUUUAUUCCAAAAGAAUUGAAAUUAAAAUUUUGACAAAUAUAAUGAUUAAAUGAAGUUAAUAUUUGGACAAAUAUCAUGAACGUCUUCCUCGAUUCCUCUCCUGUAACAAAAGAAGAAGGAUGUUUGUAGUCAUCUAACUAGCAAACCUAUUUCCAACGUUACCCCACCAACGACAAUUUUCACCAACACACAACUUUAGUGUAUAAAUUUUGAUGGCCCAUAGCCUUAUAAGCUAGAGGAAUUAAUGAACAAAGGAAAGCCCCAUAUGAAUGUUGACGACCAUUGUGCUCGGCAAAUUAGGUCCUACUUAAUAACCAUCUUUUAAAAUAGUUUCCUAUUUCUCCAAAAAAAAAAAAAAGGAAAAAAAUAUAUUUAACAACCAAAAAAACAGGAAACAAUUUUUUUAUUUCUAAAAACAUAAAACAAUUUUCUAUUUCUAAAACCAGAAAAUAUAAUAUUUUAAAAUAAUACAUUUUAAUUGUUUUAAGUUUUUUUUUUUUUUCUUUUUUAAGAUUGUUUAAAAAUAAUUAUAUAAAUAUAAAGAAUAACUAAAAAUAAAGUAUUAUGGAUAAAAAUUAUUUUUAAAAACAUAUUUAAAAACAAAGAAAAUUAACAAGUUAAAAAUAUUUCAAGGUUUCAAAUAAAAUUUUGAUUUACAAAAUAUGAUAAAAUUAUUUUUCUAAACCGUUUCCAAAAAUACUCCUCAAACAUAGUCUUUCCACACGCCUUCAUAUGUUAUUUGCUCCCAAAGGUAUAUAUACCAAGUACUAGAAUAAUGCAAAUUCCAAUUAAUCAAUGGUGCUUUAGCUGAGUUGGAUGGCAGUGUACUGCCAAGUGAAACCUCCAAAAGUAUUGAUCACAGUACUGAAAGCCAAGAAUCAUUGUACUGCAUUUUUAUUAUCAAUUAAGCAUUGCCAUGUAAGAGAAAAAACAAACAUAAUAAUUGGAAACAAUUAAUGAUCAUCUAUUGAGACCCUAUCAAAAAUGACCUAAUCCACAUGUGAUGUUCUUAUAAUAUGGAACACCCAAUCCCCCAUUCUUAGUCUAACACAAAUGAUGGGUCUUGAGAAUAGUAGAGGUCAUUAGCAAUACAACACAGUUUCGUUUAUUUGAAUCUUUGUUCCCAAAGACGAACCGAAAAAAAAAAAAAAAAAAUCUGCUGUCACACUCCUUAUAGCAUUACAAAGAAUCCAUGAUUUCAUGCUUCUAUGAACUCAACAGGAUCAAGCUUCACAGGAGCCAGAUCAGGUUCAUCAACAAUGGCUUUGAAAUCUCCAGUCUGACCUUCCAAAUAAGCCUUCAAGAAUGCAACAAAAAGGCCACCCACACAUCUCCUCAUGGGGUCCCUAGGACCCUUCCCACUCUUGCAGAUAUAACCCGAAAUCGCCCCAAUGCAGCCUGAAAGAUGAUCAUCUAACAUGUCCAAGUGACCAUAUUCAGUAGUCACAAAGUGGGAACAAGGAGGUUUACACUCACUGAAAAACUCUACAUGGUUCACUCCAUCUGGGGCACAUGGACAUGUUAGGCAGUUCCUUGGCUCAUCGCCCAACCCCGUGCCGAUUACGCAAACUGGGAUUGCUAGAUUGAAGGAAUGAGGAACAUAGGUUAGGAUUUUGGGAACUGUUUGGCUACAUUUACUCAACCCACCAACAGGGUCUAGUCCUAGUAGGGCUGAGAAGUUGAGGGAUGUAUCAGCAUACCCUAGUGCCAGAGCAAAUGCUGUCUUUCCCCCUCUGCUGUGGCCUGAAAGAGCAAGCUUGAGUAGGUCUGGUUUCACAUUUUCUGGGAGCACAGAUUGAAGGCCUGAGGAUAGCCAAUUUGUGACUGCUGCUGCUGAUUUGAUCUCUUGAAUUCCAGAAGGAGGUAAUAGUCCGUAUAACUAUAUAGAAAACCAUUUCACAGUACUGCAUGUCAGAGAUUGGAGAUUAAUAGAAAAUGUGUUUGUGCAUGCGGUUAUUAAUUGAAAGUUCUCCCAAAUGCCUUGCAAUCUUUCGGAUGAACUUGAUUAAAAAUAUUAAAUCAAGUUUGGGUUAGGUUCAAUUUCCUAAACUUUGGUCCAGAAUAAUUCAAAUUGAGUUCAAGAUUGAAAAACCCUAAUAUAAGAUCAACCUAGAUGUCAAAAUGAUUACCAAAGCUCAUCUAAACAUUGGGUUAGGUUGGAUUUCAUUCGGGUCAACCUGUUAAACAGGUUGCACCUCUAUUAUUAUGUCAAUAUAUAAAUAUAUUGAACUAAUUUGGAUUGCAAUACUUCAAUUACAAAGAUCAUUACCUUUAAUUUUAUAAUUAUAUAUAGAGAUGACAAUAUGACAGGUUUUUUUUAGUACCAAUCUCACCACCCUGCCCCUAGUGGAACAUGUUUAAAAUUUAAAUAAAUGGAUUCGAGACAAAUUUAGAAUUUUUUUAAAACCCGAGGCAGGCUCAAAAUGGAUUUAGGUAUUGUCUAAUCUUAUCUCGUUCCAUCACAUUCAAAAUAAAAUAAGUUAUAAAAAAUUAUAUUAUUUUUAUUAUUUAUAAAAUAUAUUUAUUUUAAUAUAAUUAAAAUAAAUAAUUUUUUUCAAAAAAAAGUUAAAUAGUCGGGCAAGGCGAGUAUGGUAAAUUCGUAUGCCCACCCUACCCAUUUAACUUUUUUAAUAGGAUGGAGAUGGAAACUAUUUUGGAUAAACAUAACUCACCCUGAACCUGAAACCAUCCUCUUAUCAUCUCCAACUAUAUAUUAAGUACAAUUAAAUGGGAAACGAGUAGAAGAAGAAAAAGAAAAAUAGGGGGAGGAGGAUAGUUAACAGGGAAGAGAGGUUGAGAAAGCACCUGAGGAGCCACCACUAUGUAUCCAUGGGAAGAAAUGAGUUGAAGGAGCUGGGUGUAGAAGGUGUUGCGGAGCUCGAAGCCAUGAAGAAACAAGAGAACUGGGUAUGUCCCUUGAAUGGUUGGUGUAACAAUCAACAAUGGCUUGGGAGGGGAAGCGAUGUUUGAAGUCUCCACUCGAAUGCAAGUCACACUCAAAUUUCCUGGCUCAAAAACACUGGUUGUUGUCUUCAAAUCAAGCUUGAUUCCCUGGGUUGAAGGAUUACCUCCUAAUAGUGCCAUUGCCCCCUUUUAGAGUGUGUGGAAAUCAAGGUAUAGAUCUCUCAUUUUAUAAUUGGAGAGAAUGAUGAAUUGCAGCCAUUGGGCAGCUAUGCAGCUGGGCCCUAGAGGAAGAGUCCCCGACUCCAAAUAAUUGUAGCAGCCUUCGAGUCAAUCAAUACUAGUCAAGUACACCAACUAACAAAAAGAUAUUUCAAACAAAUUUCAUUUAACUAUUAGACUUAAAACUUAAAUAAUUCAAAAAUACAUAAAUUUUUAACUAAUUUUAAUUAAAUUUUAUUUUAUUUCAUAUUUUUUAUAAUGCAAUUAAAUAUAAGAAAUUCAUUUUUCUUAAUUUUUUUUUUUUAGUAUUUUAAGGACUGGUAAAAAAAAAAUUAAAGGCUAACUAAAAUAAUUUUAAAAACUAUUUUUAAAUUUUCAAAUAGGGGUUUGUUUUAUAAAAUAUAAAAAAAAACAAUUACGACAACAAAACCUAAUAGGAUACAACCUGUAGACCCUCAAUUUUGUCCCUUUAGCACAUGUCUUUAAAUUUGUUUUCAGUGCUCCAUAGUAGUUCCUUGGUGGCCCAUUAUUACUCGCAUAAAAGGUGGAAGACCAGAUCCUUAAAAAAGAAGGAGAAAAAGAUACCAAAAGCAGAAGAGGAGAUAUAGUAAAGAAGGGGGGGUUUUUCAGAGAGGAUUUUCAGCACACAUAAAAAAAACGUGGGGAAAGAGAUUCAUCCUGGAGAGGGGAAUUGGAAAAGAGAAGCAGUACUUCUUUAGAAAAGUUCUAAGGUAAGCUUUCUGAUUAUUUUUCUGGCUCACCUUCCCAAUCUAUAUUCUUCAUUCUCUCCUUUUAUGAUCGGGAACACUGUUUGCUUGUUGGGUUGAGGAUGGUGGAAACUCUAUGUGAACGUUUCUGAUUUCUAGUUUUUGCAUAUGCUUACAAAUAUUGUUUCAUUCCCUAUUACUAUAUUCAUUUAUUUAUUUUUGAUCAUUCGAACUCAGUGAGACUCUGUUUUAUGGUAUAUUAUUUGAUGACAUUGUUUGCCCUAUCUCUCUUUUACUCUUCCCACCAAUCUAAGCCCAUGGAUUAACACUUGAAAUGAGGCUACGUUAAUUGGCAUCCUCUGCUUAUUCCUUCCCCGGUUUUUACUAUGUGUCUAUCCAUGUCCUCUGUUCCCCUAUUCAUACUACCUUCCAGUCUUUGUCUAUAUAUUUGGGUGUGUAUUCGGGACUGAUAGAAGUGCUGAUAUGAAAGAUAAAGUGUGUUGCAAACGCGGUGUACUCAGUGUAUUCCUGGUGGACUGUGAAGAAUGAAGGGUAGUGAUGGAGAUUCAUAUCGUGUGAAUUUGGUUGAAUAACAGAAGAAGGGUUGCAUGGAAACAGCAAAGAGAGAGGGAUCUUCAGGAAUUUCUACUAUGGAAAAGGACUUAUGAUUACACAGUCCAACUGUUGGCAAGAUCUCUGGUCACAAUAUUCGAUCAAAUCAAUUAUGUUUUUGGAAUUACUCAGAUGACGGAUGUUGAGGAAGACAUAGAUUCGAGGAUAAUGAACUUUGAUUAUAUUAAUCGCAACCAGUCAGUUUCUGCAUUAAUGCUAUCUUCAGUUUAUCCAUCUGAGAAUAGUAGAGCCAAAUUUACUUCAAGUCCACUAUCUUGGGACUAGAAGCUCUUCACUUAUUCAUUAUCCACUUAAAAUCCAAGUGGCUUUCCACGACUCGUAGACAAGUUACAGGCGUCAUCCUUUUCUCACAUGAUUUCUACAUCCAAAGCCUUCCGUGGCAUGCAUCAUAAUACAUCAAGUGGCUAGUUUAAAAUAUCGUUAAUUAUCAGAGGAGCUUUCUGGUAUUUGUUAACAUAGCACACACCCUGCAAUCUACUCACAUGGAUGAUCAUGACCUUCUAGUUGGGUCCAAGAACGCUCAUUGAGUUCAAAGUUAGGCAGAGAAUGCAUUGGAUCGAAUUGACGGGUUUGAAAAGAUUGUUAGAGCAAUUUCUAUUGUUGUUAGGUUCCUUGUAACCUUGAAGACCGUGCGCAUCAUACCUUCACUUGCACUUUUAAUGAAAUCUGAUGAAGUGAUUGACAGAUCCUUUGUUGCCCAGGCUGAUUAGUCUUGUUUGUAAUGGAAGUCGGGGAAUAAAUCUUAUAAUUGCAAAUUCAGGUGCAGUUGCUGGGUUGAUAACCCUAAUGGAUUAUAUAGAAUAAGAUCCGCCAAACCAUAAUUGUUUUAUCUAGAGAGUGCAUGCAAGAUGGAUCUUAAACGUGGAUAGUUUCCAGUUGUUUCUGCGUAUUCUAAUGGAGAUGGAUGUUCUGAUGGUGGAGCUUUUGACAAUGGACCUUGUUUUUUUAGGUGCAACAUCUGGCUGGAGAUCAGUUUCAUGAACAUAAAUCUAAGAUCUACUUACCUUAUGUGUCAGGAAGUCCACUUCUUGUCAAUGAGUUAGUUUAUGAUGAUGCUCCCUAGCUGUUUGGUUCCUAAAGAUGAAUGUCUGCCUGCAAAAGAGAUGAAGCAGCCCCUAAUGCUGCUGAUUCUGAUACAGCAAGAAACUUCUCAUGAAGUCACUCUUAUGACACUGCUGAUGAGGAACUCGGUUAGAAGUUCAUGACACUUGUCAGGGAUUGAAGUUCUAUUCAAACUACUUUCAUGACUUAAUUUUUCCUGAUUUUCUGAAAUAAUGCCUAUUGCUCUACAUAAUAUCUCGGUUUACGAAAAGCUUUACUCAACAUCAUCCAACAUUAGUACUCCAUGAAAGAUCAACAAUUCUACAAGUCUCCAAGGCUUCCUUGUUAUCAAUGCUAAUGGUUUCCCCGGGAUUAAAAAUUCAUGAACAAGGACUUUCUGGAUCAUCUAAAUUUUCCUAGUCAUAUUCCUAAAGAUUCUAAUGAAAUGGAAAAGGAGAUUUUUCCCAGAUCAGCUGGUAUCUAUAUCCGAAAUGAGACAGCUCGAUCAAGUCAGAACGUGCUUGAACUUCUUUGUAAAGCGGAUCAACUAAGGGAUCAAAAUGCAGCAUGCUCAGUUCAGAUCUCAGAGAGGAAGCCAUUAUCUGAAAUAUCAGAAUCAGAAAUUUUUAUGGUUCUAUAGGUCACCUUCAGCGAAAUCAGUCCUCCGCUUCUUAAAUCAGUUAAUUCGCUCAACUCACAUACCUCUCCUGAGAUAGAAGAUAAGAGUCAUGCAUGGUUGACAUCCGUUCCUCCUGUUCGGUUUUUACCUCAUUCCUAUGAAGCGUCUCAAAGAGAGUCGGGGUAUAAUGAAUUCUUGGGGAAAAGAGCAUCCGAGACCGUAUGCAAGGCAUUUGAUGAAGUAGAUGGAAUAGAACUCGCAUGGGGUCAAGUGGAAAUUAAGGAUUUAUUACAGUCCUUUCAACAGCUAGAAAGAUUAUAUUCAGAAGUUCAUUUACUGAUGUCACCGAAACACGAUACAUCAUCAAGUUCUAUAACACUUGGGUUGAUGAUAUGAAUAGGACUAUUAACUUGAUUACAGAGUUAUUCACUUCCAGGAGUUUGAGACAAUAUCGGAAGAAGUAUCAGCAUAUUGACUUCAAAGUUCCCAAUCCGUUUCAAGUCCCACGGAUGCCCAAGCUGUCUUUGAAACUCUGACAAGAAGGAGUAGCUAUUCAAACCAUCUCCAACAGUACACCUAGUGCUGAUAGUUUCUGGUGUAUAACAGGGAUCAUUACAAGGAAAUAGGAAGGUGCUGAUGCUGUUUUUCUAAGGGAACUGAACCGAAUGACACCAGCAUGCUAUUAUUGCCCAAGAGUAUCAAAAGAACAUGAACUCUUAUCAUCUCAUCAUGGAACAGCCUCCACGCUCUCUAUAAAACUCUUAAUUGAUACAAAUCUGGGAACAUAGACUUCGUUUGCUAUCCGCGAUCAUUGCCAAUGCUCUUAUCUUGGCCCAAGAUCCAUUUGGGAAUUAUGUUGUGUAAUAUGUAUUUGAAUUUGAGGGUUCAUGGGCAAGAACAGAAACGCUCAACCAAUCAGAGGGUUAAUAUAGGCACCUCUCCAUGCAGAAGUACAGCAGCAAUGUCGUUGAGAAGUACCUGAAAUAUACUGGGGAAGAGCAGUUUGCUUGUAUCAUUUAAAGAAUUCAUAGACCAUAUAUCCCUAAUUAGAUCGGAUGAUGCUGGACCCAUAUGUCAAUUAUGUCAUUCAAACUACAUUAAACCACUCCAAGGAAGACAUGGAUAGGGAAAGUUGGUUACUCCAAGGUCCGUAUUUCUCAAGAGCAACCCAAGGUUGCUGGAAUUCUCCAUCCCUCACUAGAAGUCACCAAAACUUUGAACAACAGGAAGCUUCGGAAGGUGCCAAAAGAGGGCAGAAUGCAUUUUGGAGUUCAACGCCAGCACUGCAGUCUCAAAUCUCAUUCACAAGCUCCACUCCAUCAUAGCAACCGUGCUACAAGCAUCUUCUCCCCUACUUGCUUCUUUGAUUGAGAAUUUACUGUUUUAAAUUGAAUUUCAAAACCAUUGUUCAACUAAACAUUAUCAACUUUGAAAAAUUCAUCUUUAGAUCUUAUCUAGGCUAUAAAAUCCAGAUUUCAACACUCUUUUGUUGUCAUUUUCCUUCCGGCACGCAUUUUCACUAUUUUAUUUGAUUUUCAACUAAUUUUCUCGAUUUUUUCUAAGCAUGAAUAAAUUUUAUGAUUCCAAACAAUGAAAUUCAUGGAAUCAACUCAUGCGAAAUUAAUUAGGGCUUUGGUGGGAGGCCCGACAUUCAUGAUACCUUCUUCAAUAUUGUUUGCUUGAUAUGUUGAUUUUUUAUUCUUCUUGAUGAUAUACAUGAAUUUGUUUCGUAUUUAUUGUUGAGAUGCUCUUGAUUCCCAUAGAGGAGUACUAGCUUGCUAUCCUGGUGCGCUCUCUUCUCAUCUAUUUUUUAGAACUCUAUGGACUUGUAUGUCAUUAAUGACCAUAUCCAUAUUUGACGUGAUUCUUGGAUGUCUUGAUAUAUGUCUGAUUUGCUUGAAUAAAACAAAUGUUGUGUGCUACAUUUCUACACUAACUUUUAUGUUUUAUGAUAGCGUUUGAAGAGUGGUUCAGGUACGCACCCUAACUCUCCUUUAUUGUAAUUUGAUUGUGUUUGGCAUGUCACUCUUUAAAAUCACCUAACCUAUUUAGGUAUCUAUAAUUAACUGAUUAAUUGUCACACUUCCAUUAACUUUGUCAGUAGAGACCUUUAAAGGGCUUAGAGGGGUGCUACCUUUUAAAGAUACCUUCCCAAUAGGUAACCUGAUCCCCGAACUUAAACUCAGGUUUUUCAAAGACAUGCUUUUUCCAAAAAUUAUGGAGUCAUAUUUAGGGUUUUUUUUUCUUGUUUUAUUUUCCCUUUAAAAUAAAAAUAAAAUAAGUAGCGGCUUCAACUUUUUUUUAAAAAUUAAUUUUUCACAAAUAAAAAACGAGUCUCGCCGAUCGAGUGGGGGUGCACGUGAAAAAUGCGGGUCAUACAACCCCACUUGCUUUUCUCACGAUUUUAGCAAGACAUUAGUGGUUGAAUCUUUGUCCGUACAUGGCUGCUUUAUCAUCAGCCGCCCUAUGGUUUGUAGUGAUAAAUUGAUAACAUGCGGUUUGUGUACACGGCUUUAGCAAGAAAAAGGAGGAAAAUUCCACGUGGAAGUUCAUUUUUUGCCAGAAAGUCAAGCGACGACUCCACUAGUCUCCGUUGGGUGCGUUUGGUAUUUCAAGAUUAGGUACGGAUGAUCUUAUCCAACGAUUCCAACCAUCCUCCCUUUAUUUAAAAUAAGUUUUAUUCAUGUUUAAUCGAAAAAAUUAAAUAGUACCCAUCCUUUAACUUUUUUCUGAAAAUUUUUUAAAUUUUUUCACAAAAAUUUAUUUUUAAAAUUUUUUAAUUACAUUAAAAUAAGUAAACUUUAUAAAUAAUUAAAAUAUUAUAAAUUUUUAUAACUUAUUUUAUUAAAAAGCAUUUAUUAUUAUUAUUAUUAUUAUUAUUAUUAUUAUUAUUAUUAUAUUAAAAAUAAGAAAAUACAAAUUAAAUUAAAUUAAUUUUUAAAGUCAAUUAUUUGUCAUCCCUGUUUAAGCUCAAUAUGGAGUUGAUGAGUGUACUUAAUUGUAUACCAUAUGUAUUUAUUACCAAUAAAAGUUUCUUAAGUAUGAUUGAAUGAAAAAGAAUUUCUACCAUAACAAAUACUUUCCUAACUUUAUAUUAAGGUUAUGUUGAAUUCCCAAAAUGUAUCAAAGAAAGAAAAAAUAUUAAGCAAAAUUAUUUUCUCAUUUUGUUGUGAUAUGAAAAAUAUAAAUAAAAAAGAUUCGAAUAUAAUUAAUACUAGUUACAAACUUAUACAUUUUCAAAUUAGUUAAUUUUUACAUUGAUAGGUUAAAAUAAAUUAAAUAAAUUUACAAUAGCAAAUAAUAUAUAAUUUGUUGACUUUGAAUCCAAUCUUUAUUUUUCUUCACUUUUUCUUUUCUUCUAUUUUUUCCCUUACAUUUUUUUUCAAAUUUUUUUAAAACCAAACAUAGUCUAAGAAUUCUUUCUUAGAGAAAAUGUAUUAUAAUAAAAUUAUUUAAAUAAGUUAUAAAAAUAUUGCUUCUUGUUGAAUGUUUAUCAUGACUUAAACCAAAAGUUGCUACUGAUUUGAAACUCAAUAUCACUAGCUCUUUCAAAUCUAUAAAAUUUGAAUUUUACGAGUGAAUUUUAAUUGUGGAUUAUAGCUAACAAAGAGUAAACCAAUGUUAUAAAAAUCUCAAAGAGUACCUCACAAUUUUAAUAUUCUCCGUUUUUCUCUUAAUUUUUUAGCAAAUACAUAAGAAACAUGCAAGGGAAAUCGUUGUUCUAAUAUGGACUUAUUUACAAAUAUGAAAUUCAUGCUCUAACUAUAUUAAAAGAAAAAUAUAAAGAAAAUUAGAGAUACAAAAACACAAUAAUAUAAUGUGGAAAUCUUUGAAGAGAUUAAAAAAAAUGCACAAAAUUUACUAUAAAAAAAAUACUAAAUACAAAUUUUACUUCAUCGAAUACUUUUAAUCCCUCUCAUGGACUACUUGAAACUUUACUUCUCAGUUUUUCAUAUAGAACUCUUUGGAAUCCUUCUAAACAUGAUUUUGGCUUAUUCCUAAUAAAGACUCUUAGUUUGACAUUAGUCAUUUUGGUACAAGCAAGUAAAUGCUCGAUGUAUCAACAUUGGGAGAAAAGGAGCUCAUGUUCAUACGGAACAACCUCCACACGAAGAAAAUAGUCAAAAGGUCCAAGGUCCUUAAGAGAAAACCGUUGGGUUUCUGUGAAAAGGUUGUGUUAUUUAUGCAGUACUUCUAACCAUAGACUCCUCAUUCACAAUAACUCUUACCAUUUCGCUUCAUGCCUUCUCUGAUGUAAAUUGGGCUAGUAAUAAGGAUGGCUUCACUUCAACAAAGUGAGUGUUUAUAUUGUUUAUCUGGGUCGCAAUCUCAUCUUAUGGAGUAAUAAGAAACAGUGUAUUAUUGUUUGUUCCUCUGCAGGAGCUGAAUAUAGGUCGAUGGCUACUACAAUUAUCAAAAUCAAUUAGGUGUGCUCUCUUCUCACUAAGCUUAGCAUUCAGCUUCCCCAAGCACUUGGGAUUUAUUGUGACAAUGUUAGUGAUAUUCAUGUUAACCAAACAUUUAUAAACUUUAUGCGGAAAUAAUUAUUUUAAAAACAAUUUUGGAUGCAUAAAACAAAAUAAAUGUAAGUACUAAAAUAAUGAUCAUAUUCUUACCUUGAUCCAUGAUACCAAUAACACUUUUAAAGUGAGAUUGAGUCACCUUGUGAAUUGGAUUGUCAAGGUUUUCAACUUACUACUCUCAUAUAAUGGAUGGGUCACUUGUGUGGUGUAUGUUGUUAAAAAUAAAACAACAAAAAAGACAUGAGAAUGAGAGUGUGGCUUGGGACCUCAACUUAUAAAAAAUUGUGCAUCUCUUAGUCUUCCCAUCAAAGACUAUAUGGGAGUUAUACUCAUUAUUUACACCCAUUAUGUACAAAUUAAUGGGUAAUGGUGGGUUAUUAACUUGAAUGCAUCUCUAUAAUUGCAUAGGUUAUACUUUUCCAUUUUCUUCCAUUACUCAUAAACAGAAUGUACCAAAUAAAUUUCAUAAUGAUGGGGUUACAAAAGUUGUAACACCACAUUCAUAUAAAUUAAAUUUUCUAACUCCCUAUUUUUAAUUUGAGUCUUUCAUACAUAAGACUCUUUAAUGCUCAAUCAAUUGAUUCACCUACCUAUCAAUUGAUACCCUUAAAUAAUAUUUACAAUGGUCACACAUUAUAGGAAAAAAACUAACAAUCUCACACUUGGCCUACAUAAUUAUAUUUGUAAUAGAUUAAAACAUAAUGUGGUCAUAACAAUUUCUCAAAAAUAAGCAUCCCUUACGUUAAGAUUAUGUUUCAUGGAACCACUAACACCAACUCAUUGAAAUGAUUGGAUCACAAAACGAUCCAAUAUUCUUCAAGGAUUAUAGUACUAGCACCUCCGUUAACAUGAAUCAAUGACUUUUAUGACAUUAGCAACAUUAAGGUGAUAAUGCUAAUUCAUUCACAUAAUGGUCCCAUCAACUUUUAAACAUUUAGAUUGUGCACAAAAUGGAUGUAUAAAAGUAACAUAAUAAUCAUCAAUAUAUCAUAAUCAAAAACUUUAUUCUCAUUAUAAUGUGAUCACAUACAUUACACUCUCAAUCAAUCUAAAAUUGACAAACUUGCCACCAAGCCCAUGCGCGCAACAUGAUCCAUAAAAAGCUUAGGUAGAAGACCUUUUGUCAAUGGAUCUACCAACAUGAGUGUAUUUUUAAUAUGUUCAAUAGAGACAACUCCAUUUUGAACUUUCUCCCUUACAACCAGAUACUUAAUAUCAAUGUGCUUCAUAGUAGGCAAUGUGAGAAAAUUACCUUCUUCCUUCUGUUUAAUUUCUGAAGAAUGAUGUGCAGAAGCCUUCGACCUUGGCUCUUCCUCAGACUCACUAUCAUCAGGGCUUGCUUCUCCAUAAUAUGCCAAGAGUGAUGUUUCCUGAUCAAAAACUUUUUUAUAACGUUUUCCUGGUACCAUCCAAUGUGAUGUUGGGUCAAUUUGAUCAUAAGGUACUGUCUCUCCAGAUCUCGGUUGUGAGAGCUAGGGAAUACUUCCACUAUCAUAUUCGAAAGGUUCAACAUAUUUAAGCAUUUCAUCCAUGACUUGAACAGGCCAGGUGUGCUUUUCUUUCUUCUCUUUUAUCUUAUUUAUGUCUUGACCCUGUCCACCACAAUAAAACACAACAUACAUUGAACCAAUAUUAGCACUUUGGAUAUGAACAGAAUAUGUGCAUAUCAUUCUAGUGUGUACAUAUAUAUAUAUGGUGAUCAUACCAACUAUAACAGCCGGCAAUGCCCAUACUUUAGCUAUAAGCUUGAUGAAGUUCUCAUAGCAAAUGCCAUAAUAAUUUGGAUGAGGCUGCUCUUGUCUUCGAGCGUUAUUUGAUUAUUUACCUGUAAAUUAAAAAGAGGUUUGGAGUAUUCUCAGAGCAAGACUCUUACACUAGUGUUCAUUUGGGAUAUAAGUAGCACACAAAUUGAGAACCCAAAAAAUAAAUAAAUAAAGGUUCUCAAAAGAAAACAUUUAUGGACUAAUUAAACUUGGUUGAUUAGGUGAUACAAGCAAGAAAUUUAUUGGAAGAUAUAUCUCAAGCUCAAUAAAUUAAUGAUUUAAUUUGUACUCAAUAAAUUUAUGGUUCUAAAAAAAAGUGCUCAAUCAAUUAAAGUUUAACCAGAUUGUCUAGAAUUGAACUUUUCAUCCUAAUUUGCUCUUGAGCUGAAUUCAAGAAGGUUCUGGAUUUACUUAUUAGCCCAAUGCAAAUUCAUGAGUAACUAUCUGGUCGAAGUCUCAUAUGCAUAACUAAAAUGAUGAAUUAAUAUGGGAAUCACUUAACCCACCUGAUGCUUUGAUCAUGUUCCAUAAGUUGGUUAAUAUAUAGAAAUUCUCUGUAUGGUUAGGGUUCUCGGCAGCUUCAUAUUUCUGUGGAAGGAGCUUUUUGACAGGCACACCUUGCAAAAUAACAUUGGAAUGAAACAUUUUCACAUAGUAAACUAAUACAUGAUUGCCCUAAAAUUAUCCUACAAAAACCUUCAUUGAAAAAUAGAUAUGGGAUUCUCAAUUGCUUCAAGGCAAGUGAUUUAUGGAUGUGCUUCUCUCACGCACACCCUAGGCUAGAUUUGUGAAUAAAAACUGUUAUUAUAAUAUAGUUUAGAUUAUUAUAUAAAUUACAGGUAAAUAAUGACUUAGGAUAAUGGGGUAGAUGACUUUAAACAAUAAAUAUCAAACAUAGAGCAUGAAGUAGAUCUGCAUCAGGCAUUGAUCGGCUGGCUGUCGUCACUGGCCCUGAAAAUUAGAUAUCAAAACCUGUGGGCAGCCCUAGGUUCCAAUUCAGCGACUCCUAUGUCACAACUUUACAAGUUUAUUGGAAAUCCUUUAGUCAGUGGAAGGAUACUUACAAAGAUAAAUGAUUUCGUUGAACCAAUUCAGUCGAGUUCCGCUUCUGAAUAAAGUAGCCUUAGAAGCAAGGAGGUGGAGAGGGGAGAUUCCUCUCUCAUCGACAUAAUUGACGAGGUCAGGAUACUCGUGAAUAAUUGUAAAUGCCAAAUCUAUCAUGCACAACAAUGAAAAUGUUAUAUAAAUAAAAGCAUGAGCCUUUCGUUAUAUAUAUAUAUAUAUAUCAAUUGGUCAAUUCUGUUGAAAUGAUAACAUUAUAACAAAUGUAUAAAACACAAAUGAAAAUAGAAAAUAUGUUACCCUAAGUUAUAAGGCAUGAAGCAAAUAGAUUAUCUAUUCCUAUCGAUGUUCAGAUGAAUGAAUAGAAAACAAUAAAUAGGGCCUGAAAGCAUUGCUCACCGAAGUAUUCUCCGGUGAUGGCACAGUGAAGACUAUUUUCUCCAUCACUCCUCCGAAGGUACUCAUACACUUUGUUGUUAGCAGUACUGCUACAUAUGUUAGAGAGGCAAAGGAAAGCGUCUUUCAUACCAUGGAGAGCUGCUAAGAAGAGAGGGGUCUCAUUUUCAUUGUUGCGAACACCCACCAGUUCUGGAUACUCAGCAGCUAUGCACUUGCACAUGCGAACGUUGCCUACUGACGCCGCCAAAUGGAGAGGGGUGUUCCCUCGAUCAUUUUUUAUAUUAAUCAGAUACACGUUGCGAUGGGCCAUCAGUUGGACUAGUUUUACCACUACAUCUUCUCUGCCAUCUGAUACUGCUAUAUGCAAUGCCGUGUCCCCUGAUGUAGCGGUCUUCUCAUCAUGAGCCCACGGAUCUUCCUUGCAUAUAUCUACAACUUUUUCCCAUUUCCCUUGCAUGGCAUAUGAAAUCAAGCUUGGUCCAGUGGCCCCUUGUUCUGUGUCCACGACAAAUGCCAUUCUUCCUCUUCUUAGAACAACUACUACUGUUCUAUUGCUGAAGGUACCAAGGAUGAUUAUUGUAUAUGUAGAGCAAACAAGCUGUCCCAACUGUGGCAAGCCACCAUAAACUGAAAGUGAUACCUUGCUCUGGAUUCGGGAUGAGCACAAUUUUAUGGACCCCAAAAAGAGAACAUCCAUGUUUCAUUAUCCUCUUAACUAUCAUAUUUUAAAAUUUUAUUUAGAAAAUUUGAAAAAAUAAAAAUGGGAUAUUUAAAACGCAUCAAAUUACUUUUUAAUUGUGAAUGACUCAUUCAAUUAUAAUACUGAUGAAUAAAGUAAAGCUAAACUCUUGCACAGAAGGACAUUCUUUUCAAUGAAUUCAAGGAAAGAAUAAUUGAGGAAUAAAGUAAAAUCUAGUGAGAGGAUCUCUAUCUGGCAACAAAAACUCAAGGAAAGUAUCAUCUUGAGGAAAUUAAAAUAAAGAAAAGAAUAAAUAAUGAGUAAAAUAAGAGAAAAAUUAUUUUGAGAUUAAUUAAAAUUUUGAAAAAUGAAAGAGAUGUGUUUUUGCAUAUAAACAUUUCAACAAUUGAAAACCAAUAAGCCACGAUGGCUGAAAUAAGGCUACAUAAAAUCAUGCAAAAAGAUGAUGGUUUUCAAUAAACCAACUCAAGGGAGCACUGUAUCUAUCUAGGAAUGAAGUUAAAUCUGUGCUAAUAGAGAUUUUUCUCAACUAGCGCAAGAAAAGCAUAAGGAAAAACUCAAAACACAUAUAUUCAUACCUAAAAAAAUAAAUAAAUAAAUCCCUGAUCUUCCUUUUCCCUGGGGCAUCUUGCUUUUUGUAAGCAAGGUUUAUAAUGGCUCAAUUCAAUUGUAACCACAAAUUCAAUAGUCCAUCAUAUCAUUUAAUCACAUAACAUUUAAUAUAGAAGAAGACACUUGUACAUAAACUUAAUAUCAAUAAAAUCUCUUCUCACCAUCACUAAGAAGAAACCACCCGCUAAAACAUGGAAUCCACAAGCCCAAAACAACGAAGUCAAAUCUAUGUAAGGCAAAACAUUAGAGAGGAGCCACCUUGUAGCUUCGCUGUGGCACCUUCUUAAAAGUGGCCCACAUAAGAUCGAAGUACAGAGGAAACUGUGCCACGGCAAAGAAGAUUACUGGAAGGCAGGUUACUGCAUAUACAAGAAUGGCAGUGUAUUGCAGUUUAUCCAUAAGGACAAAGUAAUGUCCGGCACAGAAAGAGAUUAGCAUCGAAGCUAUGGACACAAAGAGCGAUGUCAAGCCUACUAGAAGUUUCCUUGGCAAGUAGAUGCGAAAAUCUCUCUCUUGGUAUCGAGAGGUUAGAAUGGCAAGAAACAUGAUCACAGCAUUGACUGAGAAACAAAGCGCAACAAGAGAAGAUAUGGCAAAAAUGUCAAAUGCCGGCUCGUCUUCUAGCGUCGGUGUUCCAACUUUUUCUUUCACCCCACCUGGCACAGUGGAAGACGUUGCAAAGGCCACGGUUGCAAUGAGGGCUGCCACCACGGAGCAUGACUCAGAGGUUUUGAACAGCCAUUCACCACCAGCUUGGACAAGAUCCAUGUGUUUCUCGGUGAAGAUAUCCUUUGCAGUCUCACCCUUCUGGUUGCAGCGUACAAAGAAAUGUUGUGGCACGGACCUCUUAACAAACUGCAUAGUUCAAAGUUCAAAUUAACAAGGAAAAGGAAGAGUUCUUCAUAAGUUUCUCCAUCCGUUUUCUUUUUUUCUAUAUAGCAAUAUAUCAUAUAAUUUUACAAAAUUAAAAACAUUUACGCAUUUUGUCUGAUCAUAACUUUAAAUAUUCUAAUUAAUUUUCUUAAGAAUCUGGUAUUACUCGAUUAUCUAGAAUGAUGCAGCCAACAGAAUGUAAACUUCUGAACCUCACAUUGUUCAGGCAAGCAUUUCAACCACAAUUAGUAGUGUCCCUGAGAGUAGCAGGUUUAGGGUUUAAUCCUUCUACCCCAAUAUAUCGUACCCUUCAGUUCUUAUGGUCUACACCAUUUAAAAUGGAAAGUUAAUGCUGAAAUCAUAAUGGAUAAUUGCAUACCUCGUACCACUUUAUUUCCCACUGCAUCUGCAAAGCGGCACCAGGUAUAAGCCAAGGCUUAUUCUCUCCAAGCAUUGCAGCCAGAUGUAGUGCACUAUUGCCAUCUAUGUCCACGUGCCGAAACACGGCGUCUUUGAGGACUUUUCUUUUGACUAACAGCUCAUAAACAUGGGGUUGCCUGUACUCCACUGCCAACAACACAAUGUUCUUUUUUUGGUAAUCCUUGUCAUGGAUGGCCACUGGAAAAAGUUCUAGAAUUCUCUCCACAAUUUCCACCACACCAUUCUUUGCUGCAACUAAUAAGGGUGUCUCUUUUCUCUCCAUUUCCGAUGGUUUCUUCUUAUCUGCCAACAUCAGAUGAUUAAAUUUUAUUUAUUAAGAAAUUCUGACCACAUAAUGGAUGACAAGUAUUCGAUCAAAGAUAAAACUCUUGCCAAGAAUAAAUAUAAUUGCUAGAGAUAACUGUUACCUUGUUCAUUUUUCUUAUUUUUACCAUUGUCAUUCUGUUUUCGCUGAGCUUCUGGUGAGCUUUGAUCUGCGGGAGCUCCUUUAUCUUCACCCUGUUGAUUAGUUGCUGAAGAAGGUUGAGCUGCUGUGCCUCCCGGUAGAUGCUGACUUUCUAAGGUGUUGUCAAAAGAAACACCAUGAUCAUCCGAGAUGCUAUAAGGUGUUGUGUCAGCAUCCUUCUUCUGUGAUGGUUGUUGAGGAUUUCUUCCAUUAUCUUCGUACUCAUAAAAAGAAGCAUGACAAAGAAGUUCAUCCAAUAUCUGUGCAGCCCAUACGUGCUUCUCUUUUUUCUGCCGUACCUUCUUUACGGCCUUAAAUCCUUAGUACCAUCAGAUAUAACAACCUUUGAGAAAAUUGAAGUCCUGCAUACUAGACAAUUGAAGUCUAAAGGAUUGGUGUAAAGGAUGGUAUGGAAAGGCUUACCAAAUCCGAGAAUUACUAAUAUUGCCUUGAAUACAAACUUGAUUAUAUUAAAGCAAGUGUGGUAAUUGGAGGGAAUCAGUUGAUGCCCUUGUGACUGCAGUUCUCCUUUCGCCUUCAUGUUUGAUUGGUUUCCUGCACAAAAUAAUUGGAAAAUUCUAUUUGAAUUGUCACAACACAAAAAUUAAAAAGGAAACAUAGAGAUCAUUACAAUCAACCUAUAAUGUGCAGAAACUUAGGCUAUUUUACUAGCGGAAACCAACCCGAAUGGUUCUUUCAGAGAUCUUGUAAUUGUUUUUUAUAUAAAAAAAUGACGCAUUCAAAAGAUAUAGCCCAAAACAAAUUUUACAAACGUGUUGCUGAACAUGUUCCUGCAUUAUUUUCACUUUUCAUGUUCCUGGAAAUGGAAGACAGUAGUAUGCACUUCCUCUAGGAGAUUGGUCCUUUACAUAGCAAAAUUGGAUACAACCAUGUGAGAGCUAGCAGAAAAAUCUAUCCCUUUUUUUGUUGCAUGUUGGCUCAUUUUAAUGUCUCAAAAUAUUCUUUUUCUGAUCUUACAAAGGUUCUGAAGUGACAUUUAAUUUCAAUGUAGGCUGCCCCCCAUGCACAAGACAAUGCUCCAUAAGCUGCUCUGAGUAUACUGUGAUAAUGCAUAUAGGAAUAGCUCAUGCUUUUUUUCUGAAGCCCAUUAAACAUAGAUGCCAGAUAAAGAAGAUGAUUGCUAACCACUGGGAUCCUCCAGAUCAGCUUGCCCACCAGUUCUUGGAUCUUUUCCGGUAUUAGCUGAAAAUGGGAAGUAGCUUAAUGACUACUUUUAGCAUAUAGGGAAGUCGUAACAGAACAUUCAAAAAGCAAGGCAUCAGCUUAAUGCUGCCAAUUCACAGAUCCAUGGAUAUCACCAUGCAAAUAAGCCUAUUGCUAAAGAGUAUUACUACAUGUACAGAGGCUUCGCAUAAGAGAUUCUCCGCGCUACACUCAAUGAAAAGUGUCAACCUCUAAAACAAACUUUAUUCCUCCUACUACUAAAUAUGUAUCUUUCUAGGCCAACAUGCAUAAUUUACCUCAACUUAGGCUUGCACUGACUUCUUGCAUUUCACGUUUCUAUGAUAGCUAAGCUGCUAACAUCUCAGCAAAAUGAUUUAUAACUGGGGAUUUUUUUUUUCCUUUAUAAUGUUUUUAAAAUUUUAAAACAUAGUUAAUGCACAACAAAAGAGAUGAUACUUACCAUUGGUAGUCUUCUGAUCUGAUUGCUCAAGAUUUGUGUUUGGACGGUUUCCAGGAUCAACUGAAAAUGGGGAGAGGCUCAGUGAGGGCCUUUUUAUUAGAAUACAGGAAAUGGAAGUGCCAAAGACAAAUAUAUAAGAACAGUGCCAAAUCCAGACCCGAAUGAAUUUAAGCCUGAAAGCCUAGCAAGAAAUAACUUCAGUGAAUUGGCCUGAUGGCCCUAACUUCGGAUGGAAGUAGACUGAUUCUGAUUUGUAUUCGCAGUCUUCAUAGAAUAUGUGAAUUCAGGGUCGCAUGCUUCGAUGGUGCUCAUCUAGUCUAAGAUUAAUAGAUGGGAGGUCCCAGAAAAAUCACCUCCCAAAGCAAAAUUACUUAUAUGGUAAAACACUAAAACUACUUAGUUGGGACAACAUAAAAUAUGAUUAAACAAAUAAAAAGAAAAAGUGUAGUUCUAUGAUAUCGUCACCCACAUAGUAUUGUCAAGGCCGACCAGGGCAAUCGGAGGAAAUUGAUGCAUGUUUGGUAGUUCUCUGGACAUAGAGGAUCCUUUUCUUCAUCAAAAGCUUUUACGAUAGCUUCCUCCUGCUUGAAUGUUUCCUCCUUAAGCUUUUCAACAAAUAUACCUUGAAAAUAACAGUCAAUAGAGCAAAGUGAAAACUGUAGUUAUGAGACAAUGUUCAUCAUUGCCAAAAUACAUUUAAGGCCUUGUUUGUACAGGCUUUCAAAGAGAGAAAAGCUCUUUUACUCAAAUGGAGUGUCAAAAAGAUAAAAUCCUAUUCCCAUGAAAUCCACUUGAUUUGCCACCAAUCCCGUGCAGAGGAUUGUGCUUAUUCACGUCUAGGCAGAACUGGAAUACCAAAGUAAGGCCUAUUGAGGAAAGGGAAAUGUGCUGCCAGACAUUAUUUGAGGAAGGAAGUAGUUUUGAAGGAAAAGUGAUUCUUACAGUGAUAUAUGAUGUUGGUGAACCAUCGAAAAUGACUCCCGCUUCUGAAAGCAGAAUGUUUGGUGGCCAGGAGAUGGAGAGGCGACAAUCCUUGCUCAUUUACGGAGUUAACAAGAUUCUUGUACCGGCUAAUUAUUUGAAAAGCCAAAUCUAUCAAACACAAUGAUAAAUCUUUAAUCAGAUUAUUUUCAAAGGAUAAGAUAUACUUUAAUCAGAUUGAGUUGCUUAUCGAUAUAGAGUUAUUUUCAAAGGAUAAGAUAUACUUUAAUCAGAUCAUGAACAAGAUUCUAGCAAAGCACUCACCAAAGUAUUCUCCCGCGAUGGCACAAUGAAGAAUGGUAUCACCAUCAUUCCUCCUACAGUAAGUGUUGCCCUUAUCCAAUCCGCAUAUUUCAUCGAGGCAAAUAAAAGCUUCUUUCUUCCCAUGUAGUGCAGCCAAGAAGAGAGGAGUCUCACUGUCAUGGUUGCGGGCGCCAAUCAGGUCCGGGAGUGCAUCAGCAAUGCACUUACACAUCUCCAUGCUCCCCAUAGAUGCUGCUAAAUGGAGAAUGGUAUUCCCUCGCUCAUUUUGUAUCUUGAGAACCUCCUUGACCUUAGCUUUACCCCGGAUUAAUGAGUAGUAGCUGUUCCACAAUACGCGCUUGGUCAUCAGAAACUGCUACAUGUAAUGCUGUGUCCCCUGAUUUUGUGAUUUUGGCCCAUGUGAACUUCUUCAUUUCCCUUAUAUAUGUUCACAACUUCAUCCCAUUUACCCUGCAUGGCACUUCUGAACAGUUUCUUUUUAAUCACCUCCAUAUUUUGUCUUGUCUCCCGAGUAGAAGCCAUUUUUCCUGUCUUCUUCUUAAUGUAAACUACUUCUGGGAACUUAAUUUGGAUGGAAAAGAAUGGGGUAAGGAUGAUGAUAUUUAUGCUGUUUAGUAAAGUAUGUUUGGAUUAUAAAAUUCAAAAGAAGUUAGCAUGGUAGGACUGAGAUAAUAGGAUUUCUACUUUAUCUUGCAUCGAAAUGGCUAAAGAACAUAUGAUGAAAUAUUCCUAACUGCUAAACCAAGAAACCUUUCUGCUUUAGCCACAAUCCUCUUGACGUGUCACCCACAUUUAAAUACAAAAGUCUGCAGUUCACAACCUUUUUUUUUUUUUUUACUAUUAAUUGCAUAUUGUCUUUACUCUCUCUCUCUCUCUCUCCCACAUAUAAAUACAAAAGUCUGCCGUUCACAACCUUUUUUUUUUUUUUUUACUAUUAAUUGCAUAUUGUUUUUACUCUCUCUCUCUCUCUCUCUCUCCCACAUAUAAAUACAAAAGUCUGCAGUUCACAACCUUUUUUUUUUUUUUUACUAUUAAUUGCAUAUUGUUUUUACUCUCUCUCACCCACAUUUAAAUACAAAAGUCUGCAGUUCACAACCUUUUUUUUUUUACUAUUAAUUGCAUAUUGUUUUUAUUCCCUCUCUCUCCCACAUUUAAAUACAGAAGUCUGCAGUUCACAACCUUUUUUUAUACUAUUAAUUGCAUAUUUUUUUUACUCUCUCUCUCUCUCUCUCUAUAUAUAUAUAUAUAUAUUAACUCGUAUUACUUUUUAGAUUUAGAGCUAGCUAAGAUCUUGACGUACAUUAUUUUUUAUAUUCAUGCACUAGAUUGAUUUUCCCCUAUUAAUUAAACUCAUAAUAUUUCAAAUUUAUUUUCUUCAACAUCAUGACUGUGUGGCCUUUUUCUUUUCCAAAAUGCAUCCUUAUCUCAUUUAAAGUAAGAUAAGAGAAAUAAAAAGAAAGUGAAUGCAACAGAAGCUUUGCAAUGCACAUAGUCAAAAGCAAAUGUCUAGUGCAAUUAAUAAAAUGGUGGAAUAUGUGAAUGGGAAGUAGGGCUUUAGAUUGGCUACCUUUCUUUUCUUUUGAUUUUAUCACCUUCUCUCCCUUUUUCUGGUCAAAGAAAGGGCAGUGUCAUAUUCUUAGACUUGAUUUACAUGAUCUGUUGAAUAUAUAAAUAUUUAUACCUACCUGCACACCAUAGUGAUAGAUGAAGAUAUGACCAUAUCACCAUGCAACUUGGGGGAAUUGGUAAAGUUGAUUAUUAACGCAAGCCCAAUCUUAUUGAAGAAACAAUCAAAUUCAAUUUAAAUUCAACCCAAACUCUAAUAUAAGGUACUUGACCCUAGUUUAACCCAACCUCAUUUUUCUAAAUUCGGUUUAAAUUCGAGUUAGUCAAGUUAAACUCAGAUUGAUCGAGUUAAAUUCAAAUUGGUUGUAUUGAUUAGGUUAUAAGAUUCAAAAUACAUUCAUAGUGGUGUAAAAAAAAAAUCUAUAUAUUUAUAUCAAAAUUUAAAAAUAUAAAUAAUAUAAAACUUUAAUAUAAUAAUAAAAUAGUAAAAAUAAACUUAUAUAUUUUUUAUUAAAAAUGUAAAAGCACAUAAUAUAAGUAUAAUUUGGUAUUUUUUUCUUUAAAAUCUAAAAGAAAAAUGAAUAUUAUCAUAUAAGAUAAUAAAAUUAUAAAUAUUAUAAAAAUAUUAAAUCAAAUUCGAGUUAAACUCAAUUUGUUUGAAUAUUGACCCAAACUCAAUCCAAAUUAAGUUUCAAUUGUAAAAACUUAACUCAAUUUCAAUUCGAAUAAUGAAAAUGUUUAUCCAAAUCCAUCCGAGUAUCGGGUCCGACUCAAGUUGGGUAUCAGGUUGGGUUAGGUUAACACUUCGAAAUUGCACCCCUAGCUAUGGAGCAAAGAAAACAAACCGCAACAAAUAUUGAGAUAUAGGAC
Molecule: long non-coding RNA, 53912 nt
Filed under: Vitis vinifera (wine grape)
Lineage: Eukaryota; Viridiplantae; Streptophyta; Magnoliopsida; Vitales; Vitaceae
Description: long non-coding RNA (VVIN_LNC002009)
Source: RNAcentral